Molecule: long non-coding RNA, 45107 nt
Filed under: Arabidopsis thaliana (thale cress)
Lineage: Eukaryota; Viridiplantae; Streptophyta; Magnoliopsida; Brassicales; Brassicaceae
Description: long non-coding RNA (ATHA_LNC000230)
Source: RNAcentral
GGAAAAGCUUUGCGGUGAGAUCUUUAAGGCUUUGCUUCUCUUCCUUAGGCUUAGCGGAGAUAACGGUGUUGAGAUCGUAACGGAGGUACGAUGCUCUUAAACGGAGAUCGUUCUGAACAUAGGGCCAAGCUUUUUUGUCGAUAAAUGACUUAACGUUGAUGAUCUCUUUAGCAGAAUCUUUGGCUCUAGCUGCAGCUUCUGUUGGUGACAAUGGUUGUAUGUAAAAUCUAUCUUUCAAUGCCAAUGAAAAGUCUCUUGCUUGGUCUGAGUUAUCUGUUCCAGCUGCUCACACACAAAAAAACAAAAACAAAAGCAGAACCAUAAUCAAUCAAACAGAACCGGUCUCUAUAAUCUAAUUACUAAAACUUUUAUCUUACAAAAGUGAUUAAAGAUACGUUUGAUAAAAACCUAAAUUAUAACCAUGCAAGCUAUAACACAAUAAUUUCGUUUUGUUAUCUCCUUAACCAAAAAAAUAGUAUUAGUCAUUAUGUGAAAUUUAAUUAAAUUAGUUUUACUUACGUAGGCCACCGGAAGGAAGUGGAGGACCACCAACUUUGAUCGGAAUAGCUUCGGCGAAAACAGCUUUAACGAAUGAACCACCGGCUAAACCAGCCGCCACGAGUCCAAUCACUGACCGGCGACUACUUUCUGGUACUGACACGUUCUGCUGAGCCCUGAUCACAAGUCCGGUUCUCUGAGACCCAACCGAGACUCUUGAGAUGUUCAAACGGUUUGAGCCGUUGAUCUGUAAACUUCCUUCAAGGACAGCCUGAGAUGCUCCACGUAAGCCAGCCAUCGAAGUCACUGCUUGAGCCAUUUUUUUUUUAUCUGCUUUGAAUAAUUGAUUAGUGAAGUGUUGAGUUAUAAUUUUUGGUGUUUGGUUAUGUGACAAAGAAUACCUUAUCUGAUUCACGUUGUUACUUAGAUUACUCGGAUAUGGUUUUAACUACUAAUAUGUUGACACGUGGUUUCUUGAUUCUCAGUUUUGCCACAUAGGAUUGAGAUCGAGUGUUCCCAGAAUGCGAUUGUCACGUGGCUGAAUGACGUGGAAAUUGACCAAUUCGGUUAAACCUAGUCAAAGUUAAUUGAAAACCGGUUUCGAUAAUAUCUAAGCAAAUUGUAACUUAAAUCCAAUCCAACUUGACAAAUAAAUGAAAUCCCUUAUUGUUAAAAAAAAGUACAAAUUGAAAAAUAGAUAAUUUUGGCCUCAAUUUCAAUUUUGGAUUUUGUACAUAGCCAUUAAGAAUAAUUUGGUCAAUUCAAUCUAUUAAAGUUUAUAUGAUCCACAUUUUUAAUUUCGGGUGGGUUAGGAAUAAUAGUCACUUAUUCACGAAUUCAAAUACCUAAUCAUGUUUAGCAUCCAAAGUAGACAAUCUUAACCGUUCAACAAUAUUGGUAUCACUACUUCAUUUUGGUAUCUAAAUAUGAGCAUAUUUCAUUCCAAAAAGAAUUAUAAUCACAAAAAUAAUAAUAAUAAAAAAACUUAUAAUCACAAAAAAAAUUACACCGUUUUUACUAUUUUACAUUUUUGUUACUACUUUACUUAUAUUUAAAUUACAUACACACAUUAAAACACAUUAUUUUAAUCACUAAAUAACAACUAACCAAUAAAAAUCUCAAUCAUUAUUUAUAAAAAUUUAAAAUAAAAGAAAUAUUUUAUAAAUUUAUAAUAUAAAUAUAAUCAAAUACUUAAUUAAAAACCAUAUAAGAUUGACGACCUGAAAGAGGAUGGAUCAAAUGCAACUUUGAUGGCUCAUUCGUUAAUGGAGAUGUAGAAAGUAAAGCAGGUUGGGUUGUUCGGGAUAGUAAUGGAAGUUAUCUACUGGCGGGUCAGGCUAUAGGAAGAAAGGUGGACAAUGCUCUGGAGAGUGAAAUUCAAGCGCUAAUCAUUUCAAUGCAGCACUGUUGGAGUCAUGGUUACAAACGGGUUUGCUUUGAAGGAGAUAACAAGAUGCUGUUUGACCUAAUCAACGGAUCCAAGGUACAUUUUGGCGUUCACAACUGGAUACGAGACGUUCAUUGGUGGUCAAGGAAGUUUGAAUCAAUCCAUUUCAAUUGGAUAAGAAGACAUCACAAUGUUCCAGCUGAUAUUCUUGCUAAAGCUCCUCUCCAAAACCAAUCUUUAUUCCUUAAUCAUUUUUGGGUUCCUAAUGUAAUAAGCUAUGCUUUACAUUGUGACUACACUGCUGAUUUAUAAAUCAAUAAGAUGAUGAUGACAAAAAAAAAAAAAAAACAUAUAAAACCGAGGCCCGCUGUAAACCACGGGUUGAAUCCUAGUUAAAGUAAGUAAUAACUCUCCAAAAUUAUCCCAAAAUCGAAUAUUAACUGCGAAUCAAACUAAAAACAAGAAUUUGAAACUUUUAAAACCCUUCAUUUUAUACAAAAUAAAAGAAAAAUAAUUUUAUAAAAAGAUUUAACCAUAAAAUAGAAACCAAUUUGAUUAAUAUCUUACUUUUUUUUCUUUCCCAUAAUUUAUUUAGCCAACAAAAAGUCACGCAAAAUAUGGAAUAUCACUAGUGUUAAUGGACCGAGUUUUAAGUCAAUUGGCUCAAAUGGAGCCUAUACUUUAUAUAAUAAUAAUUUAAAUAUUAAUGGACAAGAGUAACGUUACAAUGUUGAUGGGCCUGAAAGUUAAGUCAAUUGGCCUGAGAGUAAGUAUCUAAGGAAAAAAAAGAUUAUUGUUUAAUGCUGAUGGGCCUGAAAGUUAAUAUUAUAAUCGAGGAGAAGAGUAACGUUACAAUUUUGACAAGAGUCCGCCGAUCUGUUUUCAAAUAUUCAAACAACAGGCUCCUCCUUCUUCCUUCCUCCUUCCUCAAUUCUUAAAAUCUCCCCCAUUAGGAAAAAAGCAAGAACCCUAAUUUCCCAUCUCAGAUUCAGAAAAAACCAGGUCUGAUUUCUCCCGGGUUCUUAAGAAAUCCGCCGCCGAUCUCGGGAUUGAGAUUUGGAUCCUAUUGACGAGCCUAAGGUGAAGCAAUCCAUCGAAGAUGCCACUUCGCAACCAGAAUCGCGCUCCUUUACCUAGUCCAAACGUCGUAAGCCUUCUUCUUUCUUUUAUUUUCCUUCUUCUAAGAGAGAAGCGGAGAUUGUAAAAGUCAUAACGAUAUUUUUCAGUUUAAUUGUUUGAUUUAGGGUUUUGUUCAAUUGAGAAGAUCUUGUGGGUUCUCUUGAGAAAUUGAUUCAUAAAAGUCUGUGGCUUUACUUAAUUUUGUUGGUUUUUGAACUAUGUUUAAGAAAAAGGAAGCGCUCUCAAGUAUUCCUUUUGACAAGCGAAGGAAGGAGACGCAAGGUACUGGAAGAAGACAAGUGCUUUCGACAGUGAACAGACAAGAUGCGAACAGCGAUGUGGGAAGCACAGAGGAGUGUGGUAAAGUUGAGUUUACAAAAGAUGAAGUGUUGGCUUUGCUUAACGAGAGAGCUAAAGCUGGAAAAUUUGAUACCAAGGUUUGUGAACCGAAUAACCAAUUGGUUGAUUAUAGGAGAUUCUAAGAAAAAAAUCACUUUAAUAUGUAUUUGCAUUGUGGUACUAAUAGGGUAAGAUUGAGCAAAUGACGGAUAUUAUCAAGAAGCUUAAGGUCUGUGUUAGAUGGUACCAACAAGUGGAUGAAACUCAUGUUCAAGACAAGGAAAAUCUUUCUUCUUCUCUUCAAUCUGCAGAGAAAAGAUACAGUGAUAAAGGUGAAUUUUAGUUUUCUAGUUACAUGUUUGGUUCUCACAUCGUUUUGUGUACACUGAAUAUGGACUUGAUUUCUCAUUAUUUCUAGAGUUGGAUGCAAAGACCAAAGAGGAAGAGCUACGAGCAACUAUAACAGAGAUGAAGGAGAACAUAGAAUCACUUCAGGAAAAGCUGUCCAAGGAGAAGUUGAGUAAACUGGUAAGGAUUUAUCGCUCAAAGAAUCGUUUAUCAUUGUGCAAACUUAUCUCCUAAAGAAUCGUUUAUCAAGUUUGGUGACUCUUAAUUGGUUAUGACUACUAGGAUGCAAUUGAAAAUCACAGAAGAGAAAAAGAUUGUAGAGUUGUAGCUGAGAAGCUUCAGGUUUCUCUCAGAGAAGAGCUUGACAAAGUUAAAGAGGAAAAAAUGGCUGCGAAGCAGAAGGUACUUAAGAUUUGCUUUUCGCUAAUGUGUUGUUUACUUGUUUCAUUCUCUGUUAACUCCUCUUAGCUCUUGGCUCAAUCUUUUAGUUGUUGUGUUAACUGGAAUGUUUUCUUUCUUUCUAGGUGACGUCUCUAGAAGAUAUGUACAAGAGGCUGCAAGAGUACAACACAAGUUUGCAACAAUAUAACACCAAACUCCAGACUGAUCUUGAAGUAGCUAGAGAGGCUCACACUCGUGCUGAAAAAGAAAAGUCAAGUAUACUGGAGAAUCUUACUACACUAAGAGGUCACAGUAAAUCACUACAAGAUCAAUUAGCAUCGAGCCGGGUAAAUAUCCCUGGUCUACAAACGUGAUUCUUGUAUUUCUUAAUUUGUGAUUGAUUUUUCAUUGCAUCUUACUUCGUUUAUCUUCCCCUUUUGUGAUCAAGGUUUCACAAGAUGAAGCGGUAAAACAAAAGGAUUCAUUGCUGAUGGAAGUUAAUAACCUUCAAAGCGAGCUGCAACAAGUCCGUGAUGAUCGUGAUCGCCAUGUUGUACAGUCACAAAAGCUGGCUGGUGAGAUACUGAUGUAUAAGGAGAGUGUUGGAAAGUCAUCUCAUGAGUUGGACAUUCUUAUAGCCAAAUCAGGAUCUUUAGAGGUUAGUCAAAGUCGACGUUUCACAUCCUUGCCUUAUAUUUUCAAUAUUCUGACAAUGUCAAUCUUAUGCUGCAGGAAACAUGUUCGUUGCAAAAAGAGCGUAUUAAAAUGUUGGAGCAGGAAUUAGCUUUUGCUAAGGAAAAGCUUAAGGUAUUAUGCGAUCAAGUACCUUUGGAAUUUUGAUUGGUGAUCUGCCAACUUUCAGAUACUCUUUAGUUUGCCAAUUGUUUCUUUACACUGACAUACGUUUAUUUGCUUUCUACAGAUGGUGGAUUUAUCUAUGUCUCAUACAAUGACAGAAUUUGAGGAGCAGAAACAAUGUAUGCAUGAACUGCAAGAUCGCCUUGCAGACACGGAGCGUCAACUUUUUGAAGGAGAGUUAUUAAGGAAAAAGCUUCAUAACACCAUUCUUGUAAGAAAAUGUCGUUUUGGAAACACUUUUCAGUUAUAGUAUGACUUUCUUUAUGGCCGCUAAGCAAAGCUUUUAUUCCAGGAACUCAAAGGAAACAUACGCGUGUUCUGCCGAGUGCGCCCCUUGCUACCAGAUGAUGGAGGACGCCAAGAGGCCAGUGUUAUUGCCUAUCCUACAUCAACUGAAUCUCUUGGUAGAGGCAUUGAUGUGGUCCAAAGUGGUAAAUUCAGCAACCCACCUUAUUACUUUGCUCAAUUAGGAUAUGUCUGUACUAGAGUUUAAUACAUUUUUAUUGCCUUGUGCUACUUGGGGGUCUCAGGUAACAAACAUCCUUUCACUUUCGACAAGGUCUUCGACCACGGAGCUUCUCAGGAGGAAGUAUUCUUUGAAAUAUCUCAACUUGUGCAGAGCGCAUUGGAUGGCUACAAGGUUCAAUAUCUUCCUUGUUUUGACUUUCUUGUAGAUAGAUACCUAAGAUGCAAAUUCUAGUUAGAUAGAAGUAGUAUUUGACUCAUGGUUAUUGUCCUUAUGUAGUUGAAUUUAUUAAGAACUCCUGUUUAUGUGAAGCAGACUACACUUUGACUGAUUCCUUUGUUACUGCACCAACUCUUGUUUAAAUGAGACAGACAUCACUUUGACUGAUUCUUCUGUCAUUGCAUCUUUCUCAAAUCUUUGUGGACACAGGUUUGUAUUUUUGCCUACGGUCAGACAGGUUCUGGCAAAACCUAUACCAUGAUGGGCAGGCCUGAAACACCAGAACAGAAAGGACUGAUCCCUCGAUCACUCGAACAAAUAUUCAAAACCAGCCAAAGUCUUAGUACACAAGGCUGGAAAUACAAGAUGCAGGUAAAUAUUUCUCCAAGAAUGUUCUGACUUUUGUUGAAUGCUUUCACUGUUAGCAUUGUUUUGAUCGAAUUUUAAUUGUAGGUCUCAAUGUUGGAGAUAUAUAAUGAGUCCAUCAGAGACUUGUUGUCUACAAGCCGAACGAUUGCUAUAGAAUCUGUGCGGGCAGACAGUAGCACAUCUGGAAGACAAUAUACAAUCACACAUGAUGUUAAUGGAAACACUCAUGUUAGCGACCUGACAAUAGUAGAUGUAUGCAGCAUUGGACAAAUUUCCUCACUUUUGCAACAAGCUGCUCAGAGCAGGUUUGUCUAUAAGUUUUGGGAACUUUUUUCUUCAAAGAGCAUGGCUUUUGAGAAUAUUGUUACACUGUCGUUUCUGUAUAGUUACAUCGUAAACCUCUUAUUUGUAGGUCUGUUGGGAAGACGCAUAUGAAUGAACAAUCAUCAAGAAGUCAUUUCGUGUUUACUCUUAGGAUUUCUGGUGUGAAUGAGGUUAAUAUCUUUUGUCUUUCAGGUUUAUGUUUUGUGUUGUAGAUUUAUUUCUCACUUAUGAAAACACCAACACUCUCUCCUAUUUCAGAGCACUGAACAGCAAGUACAAGGUGUUCUUAACCUAAUUGAUCUUGCUGGAAGUGAGCGACUUUCAAGGAGCGGGGCAACCGGAGACCGGUUAAAGGAGACACAGGUUUUUGCUUUUAAAAUACGGUCUUCUAAGUUAUUCCCAUAAAUUUUUUGGACUUUCCCUCUAAUCUUUGUUGUUUCCUUCAACAGGCUAUAAACAAAAGCUUGUCUGCAUUGAGUGAUGUUAUAUUUGCAUUGGCAAAGAAAGAGGAUCAUGUACCUUUCAGAAACUCAAAGUUAACAUAUCUGCUCCAGGUUAGAUAACAUUUUUACUUCUGAAUCAUUAUGCAAAUAAUCUGUCUAUCUAGCUCUUUCUAAUUAAGGAGAAUCAUUUUUAAACAGCCAUGUUUAGGAGGGGACUCAAAGACCUUAAUGUUUGUGAACAUAUCACCUGAUCCAUCUUCAACUGGAGAGUCUCUAUGCUCUCUUCGGUUUGCUGCUAGAGUUAAUGCAUGUGAGAUUGGAAUACCUCGCAGACAAACUUCCGCAAAACUCCUCGACUCUCGCCUAAGUUACGGUUAACACUGGUGGUUCGAGUCUCUCUUUCAUCUGUAUAACAACAACAACAUUUGUUUUAGAGGUUUGUAAUUUCUGAUUGUGGUUUUGACUUAUAUUUUUCUGUACCAAGCUCGAUGGUUCAUAUGAAUCGGGUACUUUACCAAGCUUGCUGUCUUGGCAAUGUUGUGUGAGGAAAUCUCAAAUCUCCCUGAUUGGCAUUUUUAGAGCUUUUUCGGUUAUGUAAUUGUCUUUUAGGACAUAACUAAAUAAGUUUUUGCUUUGUUUCACAUAGUUACAAGUUACAACAUAACAUUACUGGAACUAAUUGUUGAAGUCAACGAGGAUAAACUAUAGUGAUGGAAGAAUCGUCAACAGACAAAGGCAAAGACUUGCUUGUUGCAGAGUGAUCAGAAGCAGAACCUCCUGAGCGUGGAUCUCUAGAGUCUUUCAUGGUUCGAAGAAGAAACCCAGAUCGCUUUGGAAUCGGUAAAGUAACAGUGAAGCUGUUCAUCAUCACAAGAAUGUCAUCCAUUGAAGGUCUCUCUGAAGAAUCUUCUUGAACACAUAACAAAGCAAUGUGAAUGCAUCUGAUCACUUCAUUUGUCUGAAAAUUCCCUCUCAUUGCUUCAUCUACUAGCUCCAGUGGUGAAUUCUCCACCCAUAGCUUCCACACCUGCAGAUAUUUAUAAUGUUUCAGAAAACAGUAUUUAAAAAGAGUUUUUGAUUGGUUAUAAAACAGUACUUACGUAGGUCACUAAAUCUCCAAGACCAUCUUCUUCAUAGAAGCUACUGUUUUUCUUGCCGGUUAUGAGUUCAAGAACCAAGACUCCGAAGCUAUAGACAUCCGAUUUCACCGAGUAUUUCCCGUGGAUCGCAUACUCAGGAGACAUAUAACCACUAAAGAGAGAACUUGUUUAAUCAUAAUGGGAAAUUGAAUAACUCAUUGAAGUGUCAAGAUCACAAGAGGAAGAAACAACUUACUAUGUACCAACGAUUCUUUUAGUAUUGGCUUGAGUUUGAUCAACACCAAAGAUCCUCGCCAUACCGAAAUCUGAGAUCUUCGGAUGCAUGUCUGCAUCUAAGAGUAUGUUACUAGCUUUAAGGUCACGGUGAAUGAUCGUUAGCCGAGAAUCUCGAUGUAAAUAUAGUAUUCCUCGAGCUAUCCCUUCAAUGAUCUUGUACCUUCUUUGCCAAUCCAAAACUCUUCUCUUCUCAUUAUCUACAAACAAAAAGAAAACAAUCUGAUUAAUCCGAAAACCGAUAUUUUCUUUAGAGGAAUGAGUGAUGAUUUGUUAUACCGAAAAGGAAGUAGUCGAGGCUUUUGUUAGGAACAAACUCAUAGACAAGUAUUUUCUCUUCUCCAUCUAAGCAAUAUCCCAAGAGCUUAGCUAGAUUCCUGUGUUGUAGCUUUGCGACCACAUCAACUUCGUUCUUGAAUUCUUCAGCUCCUUGUGUCGAUCCUUGAGAUAGUCUCUUUAUUGCUACUGUUUCUCCAGUUAUAAGCUGACCCUGAAUGAGUUUUACACAGAAGCAUUAAACCUUUUUUGUUUUGUUAAAGUAUGACUAUAUGAUCACAAGUCACAAGACUUAGUUACCUUAUAAACUUCACCAAAUCCACCAUGACCAAGCUUGUUACUUUCUGAGAACUUAUUUGUCGCUGCUUCGAUUGCGCUAAACUGGAAUUGCAGUGUUUCUGUUGACGUAAUACCAUCUUCAUCUACAUUAAGAAAGGAAAAUUCUCAAGAAAGUUUCAACAAAUUAGACUAGAAAAUGGCAAAACUCGCUCAAUUCUGUUUUGGUUUUACCUAAAUCCUCUGUUUCAGCACUGAGCUUAUUAUUCCUUCUUCUUGCUAGUAACCAACACAUAGCACCAAGAAGUAACACACAGACAGAAACCGGUACAGCGAUCGCGGUAACUAUAACUGUCAAGUUCUUGCCUUUACCUAAACACAAUUUCAAAAACAUAUGAAACAAAACAACCUUUUUACUAGAUUAUGUUCUAUGAGUUUCAAGAUUUUUAACCUUUUUCUGAAGGAAUAUUCAGUGGUGGUGCAGUCACCGUUGACGAAGGAGGAGGAGCCAUCGGAGCCGCAGCUAUAGUUUCAUUGUAAAAUGGAUAAAGCUCAUAUCUGAAGCUACAACUCGGAGCGAUUACUCUCCCGCCAACGCUUCGAUCACAACAUCUCGGCAAGUAAUUAAUGACUUGUCUCAAACAGCUCUCACAAUCUUGAUUAGUCAAAUCCGGAGUGCACUGCACAAGGCUAUAGAUUGUCUGAAAAACCGUGAAAUUGGCUUUCUCCGUAGCGAACUUUCUCGAGCUCAAAGCGGCUUUCACCGCAACAUCUAUGAGCAGAGCAGGCAAAGACUCGUUGAAUCUGCUCACUUGAUUCUCUGUGAUGUUUUGCUUGUUCGUCAAGAAAACACCAGGUCUAAUUCUCAUUUGCCCUACGAUGCUUUGAUUAGAGUAUCUUACCAUACACUCAUCGUACCAAAUCACUGCCACUUUCUCUCUUGGACACCUUUGGAGCGUUUCGUUGGCUGCAAACGCGACACAGUCACGGCAGAUUUCGGCUGAGACAUCUCCACGGCAGAGAAAAACACCAUAGACUCUGUUGCUAUCGUUCUCUUCACCAGCGGCUGCGUUAUCAAAAAGCGAUGCAUAAGCUGCGUUUGGAGAGGAGAGAGAUGAAAGAACAGUUCGGAGAUUGGUUAAGUAACUGCUGUUUCUUGAGUACGUUGUUGUGUUUGGACAUAUGUGGUAGAGAUAAGUUGGAUCUGAAGUAACUGUCUUCAAGAUCAUAAACAAGAAAACUGAGAACAGAGAAACAGAGGAUUUGAAACAAGAAGACAUGUUUUUGUUUUCUUUGCUCUUCUUCUUCUUUGAGUUUCUUAAUAUAAUCUUCAUUGGAAUUAGUGGGAUUCAAAGUCUAAUUACUACAGUUAGUCAUUGAUAAUUAAGAUUGUUUAAAUCAAAUUAUUAUGUUCAAACUUCAAUAUUCCAUAGGUUAGGCAGGCCUGUCUAGAUAAUGAAAUUAAAAUGUGCUGUUGUAAUCAUUGACAUAAUAAUAUGAUUAAAAAACAUAUUUGGUCAAAGGUUUCGGGGAAUCAUAAAAUUUAUAAAUUCAUCAAAAUAGUUUUUUUUUGUCAUCAGAUUUUAUUUAGAACUCAUAAUAGCCAAUCCUGAGUAACAUUGUUUACAAAAGUGAUAUGAAGCGGUUUCAAGAUUGUUUGUUGAGUAUAAAAUAUUACAUGGAAAUGUUGAUUUUUUAGUUCUAAUUUGUUUUGUUAAAAGAAAGAGUUUAAAGCUUUGGAGGGAAAAAAAAAAAAGCAAGUUCAAAGUUUUUUUUUUUUUGGUCGUGUCGCUAAAUUUGUUCAGUUUCUUCUGAAUCUCUAUAAAUUUUGUUGACUAUGGCAAAUAGUUUGCGAACAUUGUUCUCAGUGUCCACUCAUGGUGUCUUUUUGAACAAGCGGUCUAGGUUUUUCUCUAGUAGCCGAAAUUUAAGGGUUUGCUCUCAUCAAUCAACUGAAUCCGUCACUGUUAAUGUUUCUCCACAUAACGGUUAGUCUUGUUAAGAAUUUGUACCUUUAAAGUUUUGACUUUUGUUUGCAUUUAUCUUAUCAAGUUAUCGUGUACGCAAGGUGUUUGUUGGAAUGCCUCUGAGAAUAUGCAGUGAAAUUCCUAGAUUCGUAUCAGUUUCGUGUAUAAGGUCUGACAUGUGUGGUAUUAUGAUGCUUGGGAAAGAUGUUCAUGAUCUGUAUAUGAUUUAACAGCAUUGUGAUGAACGAAUAUUGAUGACAAUUGUUGCAUGAAACAUUUUACGCUAUUAAAGAGUCCGGAUUGUGAUAUUUAGAUGGUGGAAAGAUGUUAUAUGUGUAAAGGUGGUGACUAUUCUAUGUAAAUGAUUGUUGCUGAUACUUCUUGUGUUUUGUUGUAACUGUCAAGAUUAGAGACAAGUAGUGGAGGUAAUGUUGAGAAAGGUUUUCUAAGAUGGCGAAACGGAGGAGGAAUGUACCAUCGUUCGGCCCUAAUUGAUUCCUCGGCUCUGGUUGAGUUUGGAGCAGUGGUUCACCAAGAAGCUAUAUUGGGAGCAGAGGUUCAUAUAGGAUCCAACACUGUAAUUGGAUCAUCAGUCAAAAUUGGCCCUUCUACAAAGAUCGGGUAACGGUUUUGCUUAAUGUCUUAUACAUGUUUUUGAAGAGAAUCUUGAAAGAAUCUAUACUUGUCUACAGGUAUAAUGUUUCAGUCAGCAAUUGUAGUAUUGGUGAUUUAUGUGUCAUCCAUAAUGGAGUCUGCAUUGGUCAAGAUGGUAUGGACCAAGUCCAUGUUUUCUUCUUUAUCUUCUGAGAAUUGGCAUUGAAUUGAGAUUGGUUUUUAACUGUUCAGGAUUUGGGUUUUACGUGGAUGACAACGGAAACAUGGUGAAGAAGCCUCAAGUAAGCACACCUAGAUUGCUCUCUUGAAUCUGGAUAACAAUUGUGCAUCACUUUUAUCCUUUGUUCUGUUUCUUGCUCUCCCUAGACUUUAAAUGUGAAGAUAGGGAAUCGUGUGGAAAUCGGAGCAAACACAUGCAUUGAUCGGGGCAGGUAACAGAAUAUUUCAAGAACUAGUUCCCUGUAAAGCUCUUUUCUAGCUCCAUAUCCUUUACUAUUUAUGCAGCUGGAGAGAUACCGUGAUCGGGGAUGAUACUAAGAUAGACAACUUAGUUCAGGUGUCUCUUCGAUUCUAUCUUGCAACUCCCCCAUAGAUCACAAGUAAAUGACAACUGAGAUGCUAUUCUGUUUACUUAAAUAUUGCAGAUAGGUCACAAUGUGAUUAUUGGCAAAUGUUGCUUGUUCUGUGGCCAAGUAGGCAUAGCUGGAUCAGCAGAGUAAAUGCUUCUAAUCCCAGCAACCAAAUAACUAUUAUGUUCCGUUGAUUGAAACUAUAAGCUUCUCGUCUUUUCGACAAUUAUUUUUUGUAGGAUUGGUGACUUUGUAGCACUAGGAGGACGAGUAGCUGUUCGAGACCAUGUCUCCAUUGUAUCCAAGGUAAAAAAAUAGAAACAUAAUUGGAGUAAUGAAAUUGUGCAGUGCUUCAUCUAAAUCCGUUUUUGGUUUCCGACUAUAGGUUCGACUUGCUGCUAAUAGUUGUGUUACUAAAAACAUUACGGAACCAGGGGAUUACGGCGGUUUUCCUGCUGUAAGCAUCUCUCUUUCUCUUCGAUUGAGUCUUCACUUCCAUCUGAUUCCAAGAUCCCAAGUUUGCUUUGAUUUUUUAUCAUAAGCCAGUAUAAAAAAACAGAGCCGGACUCUGCUUUUGCUUCCGAUAAACAUUGUUUCAUCUUACAAAAAAUUCUUAUUCAGGUCCCAAUUCAUCAAUGGAGAAGGCAAAUUGUUGAAGCUCAGAUUUCGAGCAAGAGGAAACCAUAACUUAUUCUGUUUGCCAGACUCAAGAAGACUGAGGUAAUAGAUUGAACUAUCUGCCAAUUGCUUUGCGUUUUUACUUUUACCAAAUGAUUUCUUUGAUAUGUUUAACUCAAAGAUCAUACAUUUAAUGAGAAAAACCAAACUCCCAAAUCCAAGUUACAAAACGUAAAGAAAGCAAAAUCAUUCAAAAGGAAAGUAAAAUAUAAAGAGAAUAGCAAAUAACAAACCAAUCAAUCUUUCUAAGUGAAGUAGACUGGACACCGUUUAUGGUUAAACUUGGGCAAGAUCAACCCGUCUCUUCCAACCACGAUGUUGCAAUUAGCGUGCAUCCUAUGAUGCUUACUGAUCCACCUAUGGAGUUUAAACCGAAUAGUCGAAACUAUAUCGAGCCUGAAACCCACGGUUCCUUGAGCCCGAUCAUUACUAAACUCGGUCCAGCGGUUACUGUUUACCGUUAAGGAAGCUCCUGUAAGCGUCCCGGUCACAAUUGUUGUGUUAGUCGGUUGCUGGAAAAACGGGUUUAGCAAUGGGAUCAAUCCGACCCGUUGAUCUUUGUAGUAAAUGGAACCUUCCAUGGAAUCAAAGUAAACACCCAUAUGUUGGUUAGGGUUAAGUAUGGUUACAUUGAAAGCAAUUCUUGCGUUUUCGACUCCGGUAGGCUGGUCUAGACCUUGUACCACGAAGUCUUGGAUAUGGAACCGAGGUCUAUGAGGGCGUAAACUGAGCCAAAGUAUGAAAGCAAUGACGCCUACAAAGAACAAAACCAAGAGAAACAUUGCGCAGAUGAAUUUCGAUAUCCGGGUUGAGAGGCUUUCUCUGACACGGUGAGCGUAGUAGCUAGCGGAAUGGUGACGCUUCAUGGGUUGGGCUCGGGGUACGGGACUGGUGCGGAUCGGGAUAGUUGUUCGGUCUGGUGUCAUUGUGCUUUGAUGAUUUCCUGGCAAAAAAAACUAUGGAGAUUUUGAGCAUGAAAGUUUUGGAGUGUAGGAGUUAUGUAUGAAAGAAGAAAAGUAAAUAGUUCUUGAAGUGUUUGGAGAAGAAAGGAAUCAGAUUACGUAAAGUGAACACGUUGUAUUGGUAACUUUUGUGUUUUUUCUUCAUCGUAUUUUUGAUUAUUUACAAGAGAAUCGUAUAAUACAACCUAUUCAAGCUAUUAUAGAUUAUUUAAAUAUAUAUGAGGUUUUAAUUCUUUAUUGUAUUCCAUUUCCAACGGUGCUCGCAGUGGACAUGCAAGAUGCAACUAUGUCUGGGCAAAUAAAUUAAACCGAAUGUAUCGAACUAAAAUCGAAAUAAAAAUAACCGAAUAGAAUCAAAAAUUGGAAACUAAUCGAAUGGAUACUAAAUUCUAUAACCGAAAUAACCGAAACAGAAUGGAUAUAAACCUAAAUAUUUUGGGUAACCAAAAAUAUCCUAAAUAUAAAUAUAUUUUCAAAAAUAUUAGUUAUUUCUAGACUUAAUAAUUAAAAUACUUGAGAAUAUAUAUAAAAUAGUAAAAAUACUUGAAAAUAUCUAAAAUAUAUCCGAAAAUAUCCAAAAAUAACCGAAAUAUCCGAAAUAUUUAAAGCAAAAUAACCGAAUGAAUACUAAAUUUUAAAACCAAAAACACCGAAACCGAACCAAGCUUUCAAAAUAACCGAAUGGAUACUAAACUUUAGAACCGAAAAACCGAUAACCGAAUGGAUAUAACCGAAACCGAAUGGAUAACCGAAUGGAUAACCGAAUGCCUAUGUAUUUUAAAAUCCAAGAAGGCUCAAUAGGGCCAGGCCCAAACAUUAUGGGCUGGUUUUGGUUUUAGACUUUUUCAGAUUUAGUGAAUCUUCUGAAAAACCAUUCCCAAAAACAAAAUAGAAAGUAAGAUAGCUAAUACAUUACAUUAUUCUUUAGUUAAGUCAAUUGACUAAAAGAGAGAUCUAAACAAUUAUAAUUUGAGUCUAGAUUUUCCACAGAUAUUUUGUAUUUUUACUAUUCUCACGAUUGUAAAUAUCAAAAACCCAUGGAAAUAGGUCGUUUAGUUAACACUUACCACAUAAUGCGGAAACGUUAGUUACUAAAAUCCAAAGUUGAUAGCAUCUUCUCUCAUUUCACCGUCUUCGUUAGCAGUCUCCAUUGAUCUUGAAACACGUACCAUUGAUACGAUUAUGGAUGUGUUCUUCGAGACUCGGAGUGGUUCCACAUUCGAGAUUGAAUUAGGUUAUUGGGAUACAGUGUUGGAGAUCAAACAAAAGAUCGAGAAGUAUCAACGUAUCCCAGUUUCCAAACAAACCCUUUUAUUCCAAGGCAAUGUUCUUCAAGAUCAUCUUGAUAUCGAACAAUGUGUGAUCCUUAACCACUCUCGUAUCCAACUUUCCAUCUCUUCUCCCGACCAAAGCCGUAACAACAUUCAAGUGUUCAAAACCGAGCAAUUCCCACAGUCAAAUUCAACAGAACAGACCAGUAACGGUCAUCAUGAAUCAACAGUGAUGAUCCCAAUGAGCAACAACAACAACAACAACAACCCGAAGAAGCUGAGAGUAAUGGUGUUGCCGAAAUCCGGGACUAGGAAGAUUCCGGUGGACGUGAACGCAGGGGAUAAUGUUGGAGAGCUGAGGAAAGAGUUGGCUAAGAUUCAACAGAGGUUUCAGUUAAGUCUGCCUCAAGAAGGCUAUUUCUUUAUCUAUAAACAGAAUGUAAUGGAUGAAAACAGGUCAUUCCGGUGGCACCGUGUUGAUCAAGGCGACACAAUUGAGAUUUUCAACGGAAGUGUUUCCGGUGGCUCUUAAUACCCUAUAAUUUCGAAGCUCAAGUCUUUGCAAUCUCCUCAUUUCUUGUAGCUUACAGUCUUUUUUUUUUUAAGUUUCUUGCUUUCUUCUAAAUUGUAUUUUCGUCUCAGAGCUUUCUACAAAUAUGCUUAAGAAGAUCUAUGACAAGUAAUUUUAGUAUUUUACCAAAAAAUAAUAACGAGCUGAAAAAGAGAAACUUGUGUGUUAUUGACUUACCUCUUGACAACAAAAAAAGGGAUCAGAUCAUUCUCCAAAUUAACUUUCCAACCGGGUAAUCUAAAUAACAUUUUAAAAAUUUCUGGAUAAUCUGGCAUAUAACAAGAUGUAUAAAUAAGAUCAGAAGUUUAUAAUAAGAUGUCAAAAAAAAAAAAAAAAAAACAUGUAUAAUGCUUAAAUUAACGAGGCUUUCAUUGACUUAAGAAACACGUAAUCUAUAAGGUUUAUUUGGGCCAAGCCCAAAUAAAGUCCAUUUGAUACGUGAAUUGAUAUAAAACUAGAUUAUGCAGUUCAUCAGACUCUCCAUUUGAUCUUGAAACACCAUUGAUACAAUUAUGGAUGUGUUCUUCGAGACUCAGGAUGGCUACUAUCAACAGUAUUCAGAUAAAGCCUCCAAACAGAGUAGAAGGUUUCUCUGGCAAAUGUCAAUACACUGCCGUUUCAUCUAAUGCAGCAAAGAAACAAAUGAAAAUGGGCUUCGCAGUACAUAAGCCCAAGACACAAAUAUGGAGGCAACGGUCACUCAGCUUCAAAUGUUCAAGAGUCUGGAAGCUUCCCAAGUAAUGACAUAAACGGAGCUGGCAGUACGGUAAAGACAUUUACCCUCAAGCUGGAGAAUCAGUUUCUAGCCCUUGAUUGUGAGAACUCAACUUGAUGAUGACACAUGUCUUGUCUCCUUAGGGUUUAGCUAAGUCUCAGUCUUUGUAUUUAAGCAAGAACAAUCUCCUCUUGUAAAGUUAAGCAAACUAUCAAUGAAAACUUAAAAGGAUUGAUUUUGUCUUCAGCUACAAGUUCGAGAUUGAAUUGGGUUACUGGGAUACAGUGUUAGAAAUCAAACAGAAGAUCGAGAAGUAUCAACGUAUCCUUGUUUACAGACAAACCCUUUUCUUCCAAGGCAAUGUUCUUCAAGAUCAUCUUGAUAUCGAACAAUGUGUGAUCCUUAACCACUCUCUUCUCAAAGUAUUCGUAGAUCCUUACCGUAACCCUAAUCACGACAACGAUCAAAUGCUUCAAACCGAGGAAUCUCCACCGUUAAACUCAGCCAAAGAGAUCGUUAACGUUCAAGAUUCGCCAAUUAUGGUGAGAAGCAAUAUGAAAGUCGCGACGAGCAUAAAGGUUGAGAACAAUAAUAACAACAAUGAUCAGUGCUUCGAACCAAGCAAUCUCCAGCGUCGUUAACACUCAAUAUUCCCCUUUGAAGCUUGUGAAGGUUGAAGCAUCGAAAUAUUUGGAUAAUCUCCAAAUAUCUUUCAUUAGUAUCUACAAUAUAUUUGUUAUAACAAAAUAUUUUUGUUAUAAGUUUAGAUAAUUAUAUAAGACUAUAUUAGAGUUUAUCUAGGUUUUGGUUUUCUUUUUUUUUUAAUUAAUGAUCAAUGGUUUUUAUAAAAUUAUUUUUAGAGUUUAUCUAGGUUUUAGCUUAGACAAUAAUCAUUGUUUCAUGCAAUUGUUGUUUAAUUGAGGUUUUGUAAAUGAGCUUAAAGUCAUUCGUAGUGGAACGAUACAACUAUGAUUUUUCGAACAUCUUACACAUGCAUGGGCUCUGUAACCAUGUGGCUUAAGUCACAAUUUAGGAUUAAGAAAAAACUAUGUAGCAAAAUUGUACUUUUCCAUACGUAGAACCAAAAUACAACAAAAAAGUUAUGUGGAUUUUAUCUUGGAAAAAAUGUUGUUUUAUAUGCGAACUUUAAAAUAAUGGCCAUUUAAUACAUAAAUUUUUUGUAUGAUCAAACAAAAUAUGAUAAAAAUGUUGACCGGUUAUUUCACACAAAUGUUAUAGUUGACCAGGCCAAAAUCCCCAUAACGUUAUCUUGUAGUAACGGAUGCGAUAACUCUGUUAGCACAUGUUAAUUAGUUUCCGUUAAUACCCAAAACGACGCCGUUUCAUUUAAAUCGAAACAUCAAAAUUUCCAAAUCGAUUUUGAAAUCCCUAAAUUCUAAAAUUAAAAUCAAAUCCCUAAUUCCUAAAUUCUAAAGACCAAAUCCUUAAAUGGCCUUCUUUUUGACGUUCCUCCAUGUUCAUCAUCGAUCUUGCUCCUCCUCCUUCACAAAUUAAAACGAACAACUGCUGUCAAUAGUCGAAUGUGGUUAUUCAUAUUCAAAUUGGUUCUCAUGUGUGUGUGUUCCUAACAUUUUAUACACAAGAGACAACAAAACAAAACAAAUAAAAAACAAUGGAAAUUCACCUAAAAUUAAUCAGUGUUCCAACAUGAUGAAAUACAAUUAUGAGAGUGAGGAAAAAACCUUGGAAGAACGGGAUUGAGAUUUCCAAAGAAGAACAUGUUGUUGCCAUGUGAUGCAGAUGGAAACCAAAAAUUGUUUGCAAAAAAAAAAAAAGGAAACACAAAGAAGGAGGAAGCAGAGAUAGCGAGAAGAUGAUUAAGAAGAUGGAAAGAAGUAGGAAGGAUUAGAAAAUCAUGUUCAUAGUAAUCAUAACCUUUAGCUUUUCCGAUCAAUUCUCAAGAUAAUUUCAAAGUAGCUAGGAACUAGGGAUUUGAUUUUUAGAAUUUAGGGAUUUCAAAAAUCGAUUUGGAAAUUUUGAUGUUUCGAUUUUAUUGAAACGGCGUCGUUUUAGGCAUUAAAGAAAACUAAUUAACAUGUGCUAACAGAGUUAUCGCGUCCGUUAAUGCAAGAUAACGUCAUGGAGAUUUUGCCCUGGUCAACUAUAACAUUUGUGUGAAAUAACCGGUCAACAUUUUUAUCAUAUUUUAUUUGACCAUACAAAAAGUUUAUGUAUUAAAUGGCCAUUUUUUUAAAGUUCGCAUAUAAAACAACAUUUUUUUCAUUUUAUCUUAUUUGAAAGUUUAACGACCAUCAUUAUUGGUAUCUUCAUCUACCUCAAAAGUGUCUUAUUUAAGAUACUUUUGUUAGUUAUAAGACAUGUCUCUUAACAUAAGAGUUGUUUUAAGAGACCAUUAAUAACGAUGCUCUCUCCUCUAUUCUUAUAGCUUUCAGUGUUUCUUGAAGUCAACUCCAUCACUCAAAGUUUAUUUUUUGUUUCACAGCUAAAAGCUCAUAAUUGGUUACACGUUUAUAUAAAUAUUUUUUUAUUAUAUAAAAUACUUAAUUUUUCCCAAAUAAGAUGAAAAAUAUCAAAAUAUUAUUCAUAUAUUUCAUUUCAUUCAUUGUGAGGUAGAUGAAGUAGAAAAAAAAAUUAAGCUAAUUUUGAAUACACUAAAAUAAAGAUGAACAAAUUAGAUAAGCAUCGUGACGUGUUGCUUUCAGAGUGAUUUUCUACCAUUUAAAAUAUUACCCAAAUGCGUGUUCAAAAAAAAUAAAAUUAUUACCCAAAUUCUACUAUAGACUAUUUACAUAUUUUGGUAUUAGUUUUAAUACAUACAUAUAUCACACAAAUUAAAAACAAAUUUAUAACUAAAAAGUAAAUAAUUAGUCAACUAACUUGCAUAUUUAUAUUUAACAACUAAUAUGAGAGCUUUGUCUAUUUUAUUUCAUUGACUUAAGAAGAAACACGUAAAGCAAGAAGGUAUAUAUGGGCCAAUCCUAAAUGAGUGAAAAUAUGAAACCAGAGUAAAACUUUAUUUACAAAACAAUCACUUUCUCUGUCUCCACUCUCUUUUCUUCAUCAUUCUCUCCAUUGAUCUUGAAACUCCAUUAAUACGAUUAUGGAUGUGUUCUUCGAGACUCAGAGUGGCGACAAGUUCGAGAUUGAAUUGGGUUAUUGGGAUACAAUGUUGGAGAUCAAAGAGAAGAUCGAGAAGUAUCAAUGUAUCCCUGUUUCUAAACAAACCCUAAUCUUCCAAGGAGUUGUUCUUCAAGAUCAUCUUGAUAUCAAACAAUGUGUGAUCCUCAACCACUCUCAUAUCCAGAUCUUCGUUGAACCUAACCCUAACCCUAAUCCCAACAACGCUCAAGUGCUUCAAACCGAUAUAUCUUCACCUUUAAACUCAUUCAUAGAUAUCGAUAACUUUCUAGAUUCCCCUGUUUCGACGAGCGUCAAGUUUGGGAUCAACAACGACGAUCACGUGCUUCAACCGGAGAAAUCUACACCGUUUAACUCAUCCAAAGAGAUCGAUUACUUUCAAGAAUACCCUAUUUCAACGAGCAUGGAGCUUGUAAGCAACAACAGUGAUCAAGUGCCUCAACCGGAGAAAUCUACACCGUUUAACUCAUACGAAGAGAUCGAUUACAUUCAAGACUACCCUGUUUCAACGAGCAUGGAGCUUGUAAGCAACAACAGUGAUCAAGUGCCUCCACCGGAGAAGUCUCCACCGUUAAACUCAUCCAAAGAGAUCGAUUACUUUCAAGAAUACCCUGUUUCAACGAGCAUGGAGCUUGUAAGCAACAACAUUGAUCAAGUGCCUCAACCGGAGAAGUCUCCACCGUUAAACUCAUCCAAAGAGAUCGAUUACUUUCAAGAAUACCCUGUUUCAACGAGUAUGGAGCUUGUAAGCAACAACAAUGAUCAAGUGCCUCAACCGGAGAAAUCUCCACUGUUAAACUCAUUCAAAGAUAUCGCCAACACUCAAGGUCCGUCUGUGAAGCGUAUAAAAUUGGGAGGCAUCAACAACAGUCACCAAGAUUCGACUAUGAGGGUUAAUGACUUAAGUACCCUAAUCUAACACAGCUAAACUUGGUUUAAGCCUAUUACAAUACUAUAUGGCCCAUGACCCAUCUUCUUCCUUAUUACCUUGUAAAAUGAUCCAUUGCUUUUUCUUUUAAAUGAAAUUGACUCUAAAUUUCAUAAGAAUAUGGGUGUUUCAUACUCUUAUAACCUAGAUUCUUAUGUAAACCUCAAGUAGAAUCUGAUUUGGUGUUGUGGCUGCGUACAAACUUUUAUGAUCUUGAAAUUAGGGUUUUUCUAUGCAAAUCCAUAUGAAAUAUACAGAUAUAUCCUUAGUAAUUGAAUCAUGAUGUUGUGGCGGCGAUAUAACUUUUAUCAUCUUGAAAUUAGGGUUUUGUUACAAAAAUUUAUAUGAAAUUUACAUAUAUACCCUUAGUAUAAUUUGAAUUAGUGAUAUAGUACAAACCUAAAAACUUUUCUAAAGUUCUAUUUUUUUUAUUAAAUUAUGAUUUUUGACGAAUUUUAUUUUUUUCCAAUGAAUGUGGUUCUUUAGCUGAAAACUAAUAUAAAAAUUAGACUAAAAUAUGAACCAAUACAUAGGAGAAAACAGAGAGAAAGCAGAGGCCUUUAUCGAGGAGAGCUAAGGUGGUCCGUGGCAAACCAUAAGGUGAGCCCUUCGUCUUGUCUAUGAGUUUUGUUAAAUGAGGGGAAGAGAUGGAAUUUUCUCCACAAAAAUCACCCAAUAUUUCUGUGGAGAUUAUGAUAUUUUUACAUCUUCAGUAAGAAAAAAAUUUAAAAUCAUCUUUCUACAACAUCAAUGGUAAAAUACUAUAAUUUUUACCACUUCUAAAACUUCAGAAAGAGAUGAUAACUUGACUUGAGUAAAAAAGAAAGAAAAAGGAAAAAAAAAGCAGAGUCCUAAGAUUAUGGUGCGUUCAUCAUUUACCUUUUUUCAAAUCGAUUCACUCACAUCAGAUAUAAUAAGGAAGUAGUGAUUUUAAUCACUACAGUAGAUUAUUUUCUUCUCUAUCUAACAAGGCCAACAAUAAGUCAAUAACACAAUAAAAUCGGAAACUUGAAUAACAAGUUACAUUUAAAUCACAAAGAGGGAAAACCAACCUAAACAAAGAACAAAGAAGAAUUGCUUACUUUACACAACCGUUGGAUCAUAUUGGUAAAAGGAACUAACGACGGUGAAGAUUCAGUGACGAGGCUUUCAUUGACUAUAAAAUGUCCCAUAUUCAGUGACGAUACUUUUCUCGCUCUUCACUUUCUUCUUCAUCAAUCUCUCCAUUGAUCUUGAAACACCAUUGACAGAAUUAUGGAUGUGUACUUCGAAACUCAGAAUGGCAGAAAGUUUUGCAUUGAAUUAGGUUACUGGGACACAGUGUUGGAGAUCAAAAAGAAGAUCGAGAAGUAUCAACGUAUCCCUGUUCCCAAUCAAACCCUUUUCUUCGGCAAUGCUCUUGAAGACCAUCUUGAUAUCGGUCAAUGCAAGAUUCUCCAAAACUCUCAUGUCGUACUCUUCGUCCUUCCAGACCCUAAUGACAACAACGAUCAAGUUCUUCAAACGGAGGAGCAACCUCCUAUAAUCGGAGAUCUCAUUUACGGUGAGGAUUUGCCUUUGACAACUGAAGUUGUUUUGAAUAUUCGACCUUUUUGCCCAGUUCAAGAUUCUCCGGUGAGAAACAACGAUCAAUCUCCACCGUCAGACGCAGCAAAAGAUAUCAUCAAAGGUCAUCAAGAUUCGCCGGUGAGAAACAACGAGCAAACUCCACCGUCAGACUCGGUUAAAGAGAACACUAACAUUCAAGAUUCGCCUGUGGGGAAGAUAAUACUAACAUUACGGGUGAUGCCAUAUUCCGGCAAGAUUAAAGCUGCGAAGAAUCUUCAUUUUAUUACGUACAAGACGUAUAGGGUGAAAAUGCUGAGACAAGAGUUGGUUCAGAAUGAACUAAGGGAUCAUUUAGAUCGGCCUCAAGAUGGUGAUUAUUUCUUCGUACACAAAGGGAGAGUAUUGAACGAAGAUCAGUCAUUCGAGUGGAACAGUGUUGCUCACACUGAUAUUGUUGAGAUCGUUCCCGAUCCGUGGCUCUAUUAGGUCAAAUUCAAGACUUUUGGUUUUAUUAGUUUUUUCUUUUAGGGUUUAUAGUCUUUCUUGAAGUUUCUUGCUUUGUGCAAAGUUUGCUUUUGGUUUCACAACUUUCUUCAUAUAUUCUAAGACAUGUAAUUACCUACAAAGAAUUUUGAAAUGAAAAUUGUUCUUAUUGAAUAAUGAAGAUGAAUUAAGCUAAGUUUGUAGAAUUGAUAUGCGAAUUGGAAACUGGAGAAAGAGAACAGAUACAUUCGAAUUUUUAUCCUUUUUUAAAAACAUUACGUUGGAUAAUUUUAGUAAGAUUUAGAUUCUUCGAGGAGGCUAUUGACUUAGGGAACACGUAACCGAGAAGGUUAAUAUGGGCUAAGCCCAAGUGAGUUCUAUUUAAUACGUUCAUUAAAUGAUAUAAAUACUAAACAAAUUCUCUACAAAACAAUCACUUUAAUUAUCUCUCUUUUUCUUCAUCCGUUUCUAUUGAUAAAGUUAUGAAGUUUCUCGUCGAGAAUCUGAAUGGUUCAUCAUUCGAACUUGAGGUUGAUUACAGGGAUACACUGUUAGUGGUCAAACAAAAGAUCGAGAGGUCUCAACAUAUUCCUGUUUCCAAACAAACCCUUAUCGUCGACGGCAUUGUUAUUCUUCGAGAGGAUCUUACUGUCGAACAAUGCCAGAUCGUCCCCACUUCUGAUAUCCAACUCGAAGUCUCAUCUGACGAUGAUAACCCUAAUCACAACGACUGCGAUCAAAAGCCGCAAACCGAGCAAUCUCCAGCACUACCAUUGGUUUCAGCGGAAGAGUACUUUGAGAGACAAGAUUGGCCUUUGACAGCAGAAGAGCUGAGACAGAUUUAUAGUUAUCGGCCUGAGCAUGAAGGUUGAGAGCAACCACAACGAUGAUCAAACCGAGCAAUAUCCACCGUCGUCGUUGCGAAGAUGAGGCUUGACGAGAUCUUUGGAAACUUUUCAUUAUUAUCUUUGGAAAUUUUUCAUUAUUAUCUUCAAUGUGUUUACUAUUUUUUUUAAGUUAGUUUAGAUAAUUAUAGAUUAUUUACAUUUUACCUAAGGUUUUGGUUUCUAUUUUCUUAAUAAAUAGCUCAUUAUUUCCCAUUAUUUCAUGAAGUUAUUUGUUUAGUUGAGAUUUUAUAAAAAGGGAUAAUAAACUAAUAAGCAUACUAGAUUGUAACUCGUGUUGGUAGUAGAAUUUUAAUUUUUAAAUAUUUAUUUAAAGUUGGAUCAUUGUUUGUUUUAUAAUACAGCUUUAAUCAAUCCAUACAUAAUACAAAACAAAGAAACUUAGACCAUGCACAUAGUUGGUAUUCAUAAAGUAUCAUAACAUUUUUUACUAUUAAUUUUAAUGUUUAUUUAUUGUUUGAGAAUUUUUAUAAUACUGAUAAUAAAUCUGUUUUCAGUGAUGAGAUCCGUAAUGAUAUCAUUGAAAAAAAAUAUUUGCAAAAUCGAAAAUACCUGCUAGCAUCGGCCACUACAACGAUACCGGAGACAGUCCGAUUGAAGAGAACAGUUAAAAGAGAAGCGCCUCCGACGUAGAUAUAAAGGAGUGUGAGAGAAUUUGCGAUUAAGGUUCCAAGGGAUCUGAAUUUGGAAGAUGAUUCUCGUUUUCAUUGAAAAAGAAUCGUAUCAAGAUGCACUGAAGAGGAGAGAAGAGAAGAGCAAAUGAUUUUUUUUUUCUCUCCUUUCCCACAAAAACGCGUUGCCGACUAAUCACAAGCCGCCAAAUCAUCAAAAACUAGUAUCAGAAGUAUCUCUCCAGUGAUACGACUUAGGCCCAAAUCAGUUGUUUUACCCAUUAAUUUAAUGUUUUUUGGGUUUCUGAUACUCAUAAAAAUCCUACUAUGUACAUGGUCUUACCCUUAUUCCAUUGUCGGUGAAAUCCUUCAGGGUUUAUGCUUUUCCAGUGCUAAAAUCGCAUUUCAACGAAACCGAAUCCCUAAUGAAUGAAAUCGCAUUUCAACAAGUAGAAAAAAGUGAUAAGACUAGGGCUUUUUAUUCAAAAUCUCGGUUUUGUUUAAAUUCGAACCAAAUCCGACCGGUUUACUUAAUUAAACCAAAUUGUUAACCAUCUCUCAGAAGCAAACCCCUAAUGGCCUAAUCCGAUGAUCGACCUAGUUCUCAAUGUACUUGAAGAUUUUAUAUUGCCUUCUACUCACAAUAUUAUGCAUAACCCUAUUAUAAAGAUGAUCAAUGUUUAUAUACAGCUACAAACUUUUUCAUUCUCACUUAGUCUCAUUGUAUUAUCAAUCAACGAUAUAGCUCUAUACCAUAUUGAACUCCGAUGAUCGGGGCUAUAAUCGGAGAAGAGAGAGAUGUAACAAACGUUUAUUAUCAACUCAAAAUAUUGUUACAAAGCUUAAACUAAAAUUAGUUACAUUCACAUCUUAUAUACUAUUCACAUUAAUCUUAAACCGAAAUCUAGUUAACUGGAGUUAACCAAAUUAAACCAGUCCAUCUAUCCCAAUAAUUCAUUCAUUCAUACAAUUUUAUGUACAAGGUUACCAAAAGAAUCAAAGAGAAAACACUUGGCUUAAGUAAGAGUAUAACAAUAAACAGACAAUUAAAGAAGAAUCAUAUGCAUAUAUAAUUUCACCAUGUGAUAUUGAAUUAUAUAAAAAGAAAUUUUCACAGAAGUGGACGAAAAAAGAUUUGCUCUCACCGUUUGUCAAAGUGAGAACUGGUUUUCACGUUUUGUCUUUUCAUUCAAUUUCGGACCAAAUUACCCUGGGAAAACUUAAUAAUGGCACAAACCAAACCGUGCAGCAGUUCGUAUCGGUUAAGUUGACGGCGUAAACCAAACCCUACAGCAGUUGGUUUCGGUUUAGUUGAUGCGGUUCAGUUUUGAAAAAGACAAAAAAAAAAACUGAAACGAAGAAACCCGAGAAAACGAAAAAGAGAAGAGAGUAACGGAGAGAUUUGAGAGAGAAUCAGAAAGCGAAACGAAAUUCAGUAUCCAUUGCUUCAAAAUUCGACAUAACUUCGAAUUGUUGGAUAGUUGAAUUGAGCCACUGAACUCCCACAUCCGGGGAAGUGAAAGUUACUGUUUUUCUCGGCGAAGCCAAGAGAAAGUUACUGUUUAUUCCGGCGAAAUUUGAACCUCCGGCGAGAUAGCAUCUUUAGCUAUGGCUGGGAAUAAAGCUAACGACGAAGUCCCGAGGAAGCAGCAUGGUCCAGGGAAGGAGAAGCGGGUAUUAAGAGUUUCCCCGCGGAGAAAACGCUCUGCGACAAAGGCAACGGAGGAACUGGGUUAGAAUCUCUAAUUUACCGUUUGUUGUCUUUGGGUGUAUCAGAAUUGUAAAGCUUGUUUGAUUAAGGGGUUAGAAUUUGUCGGAAUUUAGCAUAUCUUUAGGAUGAAAAAUUGAGAAGUAGAAUUGGAAAUCUCUGUUUCCGCCAAAAAUAUGAUUUUGAGUUAUAAUCUGGAAAAUGUCUGUGUACGUACACUACUUCGGUUUGCUUAACAGUAUAUGACUUUUAAUUGCAGGUAGUCCAAGUGUUGCUCCGACUGAAGAUCUUACAGUUGAAGAGUUACCACCAAGACUCUUUGCUUUAGACCGGUACCCUUCCGAGACGAAGAUGAACGCGUACUCUAAACCGGAGUACAUUUCUGACAUAGCAAAUGUACUAAAGGGGAAACCAGAGAUGCAGUUUCUUCUCGAUUCUCCAUUUGGGGAACUUUUUAAAAUACCCAAAAACAAGGCAUCUUUCAAUGCUAAGCUUGUCCUUAGACUAAUAUGCCGUAAGUUAGUGACAAAGAAGGUGAAUGAGAUGUGGAUUGUAUUCGGCGGUCAUCCAAUCAGAUUUGGAUUAAGAGAAUUUAGUAUCUUAACUGGGCUGGAAUGUGGGAAGUAUCCCAAGAAGAAAGACGUUGAUGAUGUUAUCAGUGUGAAACCUGAGUGUGAGAGUGUUUGGAAGACUCUGUUUGAUGAGAGGUUUUGGGACACGGUUCCAACAAUUGCUGAUUUGGUGAGCUGGCUGUAGGAGGAGGAAAGCAUGGAGGGGUGGAAGCAACUGGCACUAUCUCUUUUUAUUUUGGUUGACGGUGUGGUAGCGGCCCACAGUAACCCCAACAGGCCUACUUCGAAGACUGUCGAGAUGACUAAGAACCUGGAGUUCUUCUGCAAAUACCCAUGGGGAAGGGUGUCCUUUACCCGUACUUUGGGGAGGAUAGCAAAUUUCCAAACUCCUUACGAUGCUCAAUAACUAAUAAGGGGUUUACUUGUAGGGUCUUAUGCACUCCAUGGCUUCUCAUUAGCUCUCCAUCUUUUAGCUUUCGAAACAAUCCCAUCAAUUGCUAAGCUAGGACCUGAUGAUGUACCUAACAGGACAUUUGCUGAGAGGUCUAUCCAUCGUCUUGCCUCUCUGCGAGCAAUCCGGACAUCUCGCAUUUUGGAGUGUGAGGCUGCUGAUGAGGUGUGUUAAAUUGUGUAUGUACGUACAUAAUAAGUAAAUGUACAUUAUCUAUGGUUAACAUACUUAUUUGUGUAGGUUGAGGUCAACUAUAUUGUGAAACCAGCUGAUAAUGUUUGUCCUCCAUCUCUUUCAUGGGAUGAUGAAGUUGAUGAUCCAAGGGUUGAUUACAUUGAGGCACUGUUGAUAGAUGGGCACCAGUGGCAGGAGGAUGAAUGGGUUGGAGGCUAUGCUAGAGUACCAAAGCAGUUGCGCCCACCACAACUAGAAGAGACAGGUAAGUAUAAGUAUAAAGGUUGUUUACAAAUUUUUUUGGUAUUGCACCCAGAAGAAAACCAAUUAAUAGCAGCAACUGGUCUAUUGUAGAUGUUAAGAGGAAACGAAAUGCACCGGGCCCGAGCCCUAAAGAACCUGCUAUGAAAAAACAGAUAUCUGAAAUGGACUGUGAUAAAGAAGAGAAUGCUGAGGAUUGUUUUGGAGAGCCUGUGCCUGAGAGGUUUAUUGUUGAAAUGAGGAGGUCUUUCAAGGAGCUGGAAGACCAAAUGUAUCAAAUGCAUGAAGAUAUGAAAGACUUUGUCCGUGACCAGAUACGUGCUGUCCUUGAUCCAAAAGGCAAAAGGCCAGAACAAACCAUACCUUCCCAUGAUUCGCGGGAACCACCUACUUCUAUGGAUAAGGCACCGGUUACUGCGAAGAAGCCAUCGAGAAGGAUGUCUACAAAAGGAAGCACUGAAACGAGAAAGUCUUCAAGGCUGACUCGUGUUUCUCAUGAUGUGGACACUCCUGCACUUUCUGUUGGCUGUAAUUCCAAAGAGGAAGAUUUGGAUAUCCCUGGAGUACAUACCACUGCUGUCGGCGGAAGAAAAAAACCUUCAAAGCCGAAGAAAAAUGUUUCUUUUGCUGUUGACACUACUGAGCUACCUGAUUCCAAUAAGGAAGAUAUGCAAGGAUUCAUUGAUGAACAGGUAAGUCAUGUACGUACAUUGCUAAAUAUUUUAUAAUCCAUAUGUAUAACUGUACUGUCUGCUUCGAUACAGUAUGGCGCUAAUAAUGAAAGUGAUUUUACUGCAAAUGAUGGAUUGGAUUCUUCGGCCGCUGAAGAAGAGAUAUUAGACACUGGAUUUUUAAUAGUUCCUUAUGCUGGAUCCACACAAUCCCAUCUGGUAUGUCGUCUACUAAUACUCUUAACAAUCUGUUUAAAUGGUGUACGUACAUAUUCGCUUAAGAAGUUAGUUAAACUAUGUUUCAGGAUAGAGGAAAUGUUGUUGUUGGUAAGACUGUCUUCUUAGGUUCAAUGUCUGGGACUGUCUAUGUUACACAGGAAGAGAGGCCUGUGGAAGAAGCUACUGUUGACACCGAGAUGGAAGAAGUUCCAUCUAAUGUGUAUGCAAGAGUUUCAGAGGUAGAUCUUCUGGUAAUCGUUAUAUACAGAUUUCCAUGACUAUAUGCAUAUAUAUUACAUUAAUUUCUCCACUUAUCUAACGCUUAACUCUAUGGUAGCCUAUGUUUCAGGAUAAUGGACCAAAGGAUGUUGCUGAACCUGGCUUAGUUGGUACCCAUACAGGGGCCGAUGAAAUAGCUGAUGCUGACAUAGAGAUGGUAGACAAUCCAUCAGGUUUACCUUCAACAUCUGCACAGGUAUGUGUUAGUCACUUGUUCUUUUUCCAUAUGUGUACGCCCAUAAGACUUUGCAAAUUAUUUUUGUUUCAUAAAGAAGCAAGAGAUGCCAGUGCAUCGACUGAAGCUAAUGGUAGCGAGUCAGAAGAAACUUAUGAGCCUUCUGAUGGAGAUACAGCUCACGUACCUGGCACAAGUGUACAUACAUUUUUGUCACUAUGUUUUGUGUACAUAUAUAUUGUUUCAUACAUUACUAAAAAGUUUCUUUCCGAUGAUAAAUUCUACAGGUUGAGGCGGCAGGAGAAUCCAAAUUAGUGACAGAGAUGGAAGUUGAAAUACCUGAGAAGACCCACAGUGAUCCCCCGUCACCAUUUCAAGUAGUUAACAAUGUAAGCUAACUCUUGCAACAAAUAAAAUGUACUAUUUACUGUUCAAAUGUAUAAAAUUUAUAUUAUGCAGGUCAUACGGGAGUUGGAUACCAAAGCCGUUGGUGAUUUGGCUGCAGCUACUGAUGUGGAGGUAACAAUUUGUGUGUUUUAAUUCCUAUUUUCGAAAUAGCAUGCAUAGGAUUAUAUGUGUACAUUAUAUAGACUUGUGUACGUUAACUUGGACAGGUAGUCAUGGAAGAGCCGGGUAUUGUCGAGGGGUCUGUAGGAACUGAGGAUCCUAACCCAGGGUCAGAUGAAGCAGACAAGACCGAUAUUCCUAAAAAUAAUGUAUGUACCUAUUUUAAAAAUAGAAAAACGUAUGAAACUGUUGUUGACAAUCAUAUUUGUUAACAGGAUGAAUCAGACAAUGCUGUUGCUGUCGAAGCAAAAGAAGAAAAAAAAUCGUCCCCAAAGGUCCCAAAAAAAGUGAAGAAUCAACUUGUCUAUGAACAGGAUGAUGUCCAUCCUCAUGGUUUUAAGGCAAAAACAGUCUUGGUGCCCGAUGUACCAAAUCAACAGAUAGAGGUUGUUAUCAGGGCUGAAAAUGUCUCAUACAACCCCCUGGACAUGGUUGACCCUUCAAAAGUAGAGGAAUUCAGCAAUAUCAUUAAAGGACCCUCUGUGUAAGUACAUUAUAUUAAAAUGGAUUAUUUAAUAUCUCAAUCAUCAUUUUUCCAAGUCUUAAGGUUGUUAUCAAAUAUUUUUCUGGAUUUACAGGAUUCACACUCUUUUCGGGUUUCGCAAAGUGCCCAACGAGUUUUUUGCGAACCUUCUAACACCUGGUGAAUGGGUCGAAAGUUUGGUACGUUUCAUUUAUAUUCGUACAUUCCUUGUUAUAAAUUGUACAUAGAUGAUUAAAUUUUUCGUGGAAGUGUACGUACACUGAUAUAUUUUUUGAACAUUUCAGCAUUUAGAAAAGAUGGCAAUGUUGAUGUGGCACAAGAACGGGGAACAGAUGAUAACAAACAGAUGUAUUGUAUUGGACAUGAUGCUGACACAUCUACUUACCAAGCGGGUGGGCGACUUCAAGAAGUGUAUUAAUAAGAACGGGUUCAAAUAGGGUAAAUUACUGUCCGACAUUGCUAAUGGAGUUCACAUAAACCGUGAACCCAAUAUGAAGUGGCUGAAGGAUGUCGAUGUUGUGUAUGCUCCGAUGAACUGGAAGAGUGAACAUUGGGUUGCUUUGGGAAUCAACCUUAAUGAACGGCUAAUAACUGUGUAUGACGCUUUAAUAUCGCACACGCGGGAGUCGGCUGUGAAGGCGAGAAUGACUCCUAUUUGCGAAAUGAUACCGUACUUAGUCAGAGCGAUGUGCCAGGAUGUAUUGAUUUCUCCGUACUCAGUUGAACCUUUUGAGUAUGUGCGUUGUCCUACCGUUGCUCAAAACCCAACUACAGGAGAUUGCGGGUCAUACACGAUGAAGUUCUUGGAGUUGCUUGCGUUUGGACACCCUUUUUCGGAAUUGACAACCAUUCGAGAAGCAGAUAUGGUUUUCUACCGUCAGAAAUACUCGGUUGACAUCUACGAGCACGGCAAGCGGGAGGCCGGUACUGUGCACUUGCUUUAAUCGUCCAAGAACAAUAUUCUGGUUCUUUGCAACCAAUUAUUAUGAACAAACCUAUCUUAGAUAUAUGAUUGCAACUACAUUUAAUUUGGAGAUUGUCAGAAGUUAAUUUAGUGUCCUCUAUCAUAUUGUCGUACACAUCGUUCACUUCUAAUUACAUAAUGUAAAUGUGUACGUACAUAUCUAUAUGUCUCGUACACUGCAUAUUAACUUUAUAACAUAACUCAAGUGAUAAAUUGAUUUGACAGCCAACGCUUACUAACACAAGUAUGACAUUCAUUUCAACCGUAAUUGCCCCAACCAAAUUCACAGUAGUGGUUAUUAAAGUGAAGAAAUUACUGACGAUCUCUGACUAUCUCAUUUCAAACAUGGUUAACCCGACUCUUCCCGACGAUUUACUCUCGAAGAUAGCUAAGAACCUGGCUAACCAAUGCUGGUCCGACCUUGGUCCACUGGUACGAUCCGGCACUCGUGGAAGAGACAUUGUCUACCGUCCGGAUGUCCUCAAAGAUGCCAAUAUUCUCACCUUGUGUAACUCGCCCGAUGACUUCCAAGCUUGAGGGGGCCACAAUCCCUCCGGAUCCGCUGAUGAAGGCCGACAUCGACCAUUUUUUUUACGGUGUUUUGCAGCUAAUAAUCCCACGGCAGUGUAUUACGAAGGUAUUCGUGUUCUAACGCAUGAACGAAACAUCAAUGGAGCCAUCAGGCUCUUACAGCGUCAUGCUCCAGUACGAGCAAAUGCAACAGUUACAUGCGCCAUUGUAUUCAUAUGUGCUGGGUAUGAUUAUAUGGGCGACUUGUUUCUACAGCUCUUCACCCGCAACCAUUAUCCAUUGGACUCGGUUGCCACUCGAAUUUGGGUGAUGAGUUUCUUCAAGGAAAUAAAGAAGUUUGACCCUGCAUACAACAAUACAUAUGGUCCUACGUUCUCUUAUCCUACCAGCCAUGGAAUUAGUAUGCCUCCUUGCGCCUUAUAUUGUUACAUGGUAUCAGGAGCUUUCCAAAACGUUUGCAACCGCUGUUACCUCUGAUCGUGUGCCAGGCGUGUUAGUCAAAUGCUAUAGUUAAAAUCUAAAGUUGAAUAUUUUUCAGCCAAAUUCGCAUAUGAUAUUUAGUUCCCGAAGUAAAUGUAAAUUUGGAUAUUAAAAUCUAAGCGUCCACAACUACGUACACGUGCAUCUACCAAAUAAUACUUAAAGGUUUUUUGUUUGUCUCGGAAAACUAGAUAUGUACGUACACUAGCAUGAGAUAUCAACUCUAACGUACACUAAAAAAUAACACAUUCAAACAUAUGAGGUCUUUGGUUUGUCUCAUAAAUGGUGAUAUUUAUGAAUGGACGUACACUGAUAGUACACUACAGCGUACACUGUUUGUUGGGUAAAUGUAGAAAUGUAAAUGUGGACGUACACUACAACGUACACUGUUUGUUGGGCAAAUGUAGAAAUGUAAAUGUGGACGUACACUAAAACGCACACUAAAACGUACACGUCUAGUUUUAAGCUGUUAUUAAAAAGUGGUUGCUCAUAACAACAAUAACAAAUUAUAUAUGGAAUACUAUUACGUUGAUUUGACAAUAUGAAUACACAUCAUCACUUAAUACCUUUGCAAUAAAUACAACCAUAACUUACCCAACCAUAUCUUCAAUGAUGCUUAUUUAAGUGUUGGAAUUUCAUUUUGUUAAAACACCUUACUCCUAAAUAUAACAAACCCAAAUAUUCAUGAUGAUUUGCUUGCGAAGAUAGCCAAGAAAAUGGCUGACAAAUGUUGGUGGUACCUCGGACCUAUGUUGAAAUCCGGUCCUCGUGGAAGAGACAUUGUCUACCGUCCGGAUGUCCUCAAGGAUGCAAACAUUUUCAGCAUGUGCGACGAUCCCGAUGACUUCUACGCGGUAGGCCACGAUCCAAAUGACAUCAACUCCGAAGGUCGCUAUAGACCCUUCUUCAAACGGUGCUUACAAGCUGGUAACCCCACGGCUAUUUACCAUGAAGGACUGCGUCUCGUUACACAUGAGUCUGACAUUCAGGGAGCUAUCCUACACUUAGAGCGAAUCUCCCCAAGGAACGCCGCUGCAACCCUUGCAUGCGCAAUUCUUUACAUAUGUGCUGGUAAUGCUCACAUGGGUGGUGUCUACCUUCGGCUCUUCGGAAGCAACCAUUAUGCUUUGGAAUCGGAGGAGGCACGUGACAUUUGUGAGGAGGUGCUAGAAGAUAUAAAGAAAUAUGGUAAUACUUUAAAAUACACAUACGCUAACAGUUUUUCGUACCCGGAAUGUGGUGACUUAAGCACUCCUGAAUGCGCAGAGAUGUGUUACAUGAGAUCGAGACUCUUCAAUAAUCUUUGCAACCAAUGUUACAUCUGGUUGUGUGCUAAACGGAUUAGCCAGAUCCUGUAGAGCUCACAUUCGCCACGAUCCUGUCAUAUUUAUAAGUUUUUCAUGCAACAAUAUGUGAGCUUUUUACGUUGAUUAUCAGUAAUGGAAGUUUGUUUUUAAUAAUUAUCACUUUGUAAUUGAUUCAAACAUACUAGCUCAAACUACUCUAAUAUGAGACAUCAUUAACACAAAAUAAUAAUAAAAUAAUAAAAUAUCUACGUACACGGUAUAUGAUAAUGUACAUGUGGUAUAGUUUAAUUCCAACUAUAAAGAUUACAUAGUGAGCGACGGUAUAGUUUGUAAAUGAAGACGAAAGAAAAUUUGAUUUGACGUCGUAUAACACAUAUCUAGAAGAUUUCGCUCCAUAUUAAUUACUCGCUGUCAAAUACACACUAGAAGUGACCUCCAUCACACUCUCAUUAAUAUCUCUAUUAGACAUACACGGUUCCCGAGCAACGUACUCAAUUGAUUUGGCAGAUAAAAUAAGUAAGUUAAUGUUUAUUUGAAAAGAUUGUUAGUAAAUGCGUUGACCCCUAAUAUAGCACUAUACAUGAAGCCAUAUUGUUCCACUUAUAUGCAAUACAAACAGACGUUAACUCAACCUUCUGUAAGAAAACGUAAUGAGUAUUUUAUAGACAUACACGGCGCGAUUAUGAGAGGUACACAGUAGUUUGUUUAAAUUAAAAGUUACUAAUAUGAUGCACUAAAUAUACAUCCACGUCACCCACCCACUUACAUUGAUGAUUAUUCCCCUCUUUAAAACUCAUGUCAAACACACUUAGUUGAAUACACGAAUCCGUCUAAACCUCCUCGUUUGAAAAACAAUGCCUUUCCUACCUCCGCUAACCCCUCCAACCGAGUUGUACCUAGGAAUCCAAUUGCCAAACCCCAUAAGCAUACUUGUCAACUACCUCCCCGUCAGCCAGACUCCCAUAGAGACGCUAAGGAACUUAGUCAACAGUUGUGACAUCAACACCCUUGCAAUCGAUGAAUUCAUGACGUGGCCGUCGUUACUCCAACCGGAGUCUACCUUCCGGCCAUACUUCGAGCUGCUUGUAGAACGUGGAUCCAUCCCGGCGGUUUACCUUGAAGGUGUUCGCCAAGCGAGCAACUUCGUGACAGUAGCUCAGGGCCUUUCAGUCAUGACAACGGUCGCUUUAUCUGAUCCCUUUGCUUGCUUCGCAACCGGUUUGUUCCUUACGUGUACUGGUAAUCACUUGGAUUUCCUCCCGAUCAGCGAAAAGUUCUGGGAAAUGACACCCACCCUUGAAGCUGGCCACGCGGUUGCAGAGAUGGUGAUGUAUCACAUCAGCCAGCUUCACACUGAAAAUGCUCGCCGCUGGGAAAGGUCUUGGAGGUUUGUCCACCCGCUGAGUUGCGUAGGGCAAUGCACGUUCCAUCAUGGCUGCAGGGUUUGUUUUUUCUACUGGUACGCCAGGGAGAUUGCUAUAUUCUGUGUAUGACGGAUGCACACAUAUUUUGCAACACAUGUGUAUGCUUCGUUGAAAAAAUUAUGUUUUUUGAUUCGUUCCAGUUUAUUUAUCUUAUGAAUUUCCCUUUAUAUAAACUGCCUGUCUUUUUUAUGUUUCUGGCUUUUGAAUGAAUUACCCCUUUAAGUAUUACUAGAUGUCUUCGUGUACGUACACUAUAUAGUACAUUAAACUUGGUUUAUCGUACAUUGGGAAAUUGCGUACACAACAUAAGUAUAAAUCUAAUAGUUUUUGAUGUUGAAGGCACCAAAACUAAUACACGUACACGAUAGCGUACACCAGAAACUAUACGUACAUUGCGAGAGGAUUUGAACUAUAAAACAAGGCAUGUACAUAAAACAACAAAUUAGAUUAACAUUUAAACGGAAACAGGAAAAAACAACGACUGAAAUGUAGUUUGGUUCUUAUGGAAACAACAACAACAACUGGGAAAGAAAACUUAAUUGAAAUGUAGUCUUAUAUUAUAUUAAAACGGAGAAUAAUGGUGUAACGCCUGUGUCCCGAGUUAGGGAGUAACCCAGAUCUUACACCAGCCGAAUUCGAGGACGAAUUCAGUUUAAGGGGGGUAGACAUGUAACGACCGCGUCCCGCGUUCAUAAAGAGGCCAAGUUGUUUUAGGAGAAAACUAGACCAUGGUCAAGAAACGGACUAAAAUACUUAGUCGGAUGAACGAGAAAGUUCAAGCUGAACCAGCUAGGUGAGCUGGACAAGCUAGGAUGAACUAGCUAGCUAAGCUAGGUGAGCUUAACCAGGUGGAAGACUAGCUAGCUCAGCUAGAUGAGCUGACCGACAGCUCGACUGAGCUCGGUGAGCUGAUCGUGUACUGACCCAGCUGGGUGGUCUGGUCAGCUGACACUCGAGCUGGUGGACUGUGGUAGCUCACGGGUGAAAAGGUGUCUCGGCCAAAAGGUGUAAGGUCGAGCGGGUACCAACGAACGGUUGUGACCUUUUGGAAGGAACGGAUGUGACCUUUUGGAAGGGUGCAAGGAACGGAUGUGACCUUUCGGAGGGGUGCAAGGAACGGAUGUGAUGCUUCGGGAAGCAUCCAUUCGCCCCCUAUAUAAGGGAGGACGCCCAAGGCCUUUGAAAUAAUCUCACAUCAUCUCACAACAUCCAAAACACCAUAAAACAUUCUUAAAGGAGUCCCAACACAUCGUAGAGUUGUUGGUCGGAAAGGGGGUGCGGCUCGGCGAGUAUAAUUCGACCGAACUGAUGCGCAUGCUACCUCCCGGUCCAACGGUUCGAUGGAGUGUAGAUGAUGGAGAGGGUAGACCGUUCGUCUUAGAGACAAAUCGGAUCUGGUAGACCGAUCGUUGGAUCGGAUCGGCCAGACCGAUCGUCAGACGGAUCGGAUCGGCCAGACGGAUCGGAUCGGCCAGACGGAUCGGAUCGGCCAGACGGAUCGGACUGACUGAUCGUCGGACGGGUCAGAUGGGACAGGCCGAUCGUCUGACAGAACGGGACGGACAGACCGAUCAUCGGAUGGGAUGGAUCGAGAAAAGUGUUCGAGGAAGCACAAGGAUAAGUGCAUCCGAGCACACCCAAGGGUCGCCCAUGGAUGCAAUCUUACCGGUAAAGGGAGAAAGCACCAAGAAUGGGUAAGGAACGUGAUUCACCAUAUAGGAUCAACAUCGCGGCCGCCUUCAUGUAUCUAUCUCCUCAGCCAUGGUGAAACCGAUCAGAGAUCGGUAAGACCAAAGGGUGACUCGACGGAUAACCAACGGGAAAGUCUACGGUGGGAACCGAUGGACAAAACGGAUGUUGGACCCGCGAGCAAACCUAAGGCCGACGGAAGAAAGAUUUCAUGGGCUAGCCUACGAUGAUCCAGUGGAUGAAUCCACGGACCCUUGGGUGUGAUAAGGAUAUAGUUCGAAUCGUAUGGAUGGAUCAAUAAGCCGAAAGCUUUAUCGACCACCAUAAACCGGACGGAUAAACGGUUAGUAAACCGUGGGCGGUCGUAGUAAAUGACCGGAUCGGAAACAUGGAUGGUUCGAUAAGCCAAGGGCUCAAUCGUCCACCAUGGAACCGAAGGGGAGUACGUUUGGAGGACGGAUGGACCAAUAAGCCAAGAGCUUGAUUCGACCAUCGUGAACCAAGGGAAUCGUACAAUCCCCAAUCUCUAUCGUUGUACUUAGACCAGUGGGGUUGGUUGGUUGUAUGGCUAAGUAACGAUAGGGAUUGGUUCAUCAAUUCACGACCGAUGACGAGUCGUUGAACGAAUAGAGUAAGGCGACAAACGGGCUAAGGAAUCAAAUACGCAUAUUGGCCAAGGUAUGUAAAGAUCUAGCUUAUUAGUUAAGAUAGACGUUUGGUAAUUGACCGUGAAAGUAGGAUAAAGGAAUAUGCGAUUGUUUGGCUUAGAAUGGUUAGCGAACAUAUGCAUGUCUUGACCGAGUAAAGGAUAGAUCUAAGUCUAAGGGACAAAGACGAUGAAACCGGUACAAGAGUUGGUUAGAAUUAAACCAAGGUUAGAAAGACUUCCGCUGUGUAAUAAGAGAGCGAUUAUAGAAUUUAGCCUCGUAAAGGCAAUUCUAUGUUGAAUCGCAAAAAAUUAAGAGGUUCGGCCGGAGAGAGGCGCGAACUUGAGUACUACGUCGCCGGACGACGAGACGUCCGGGACGGGGUCUUACAAAUGGUUCAUUCCCUCUAGCUAAAAAACCACCAUCGAGAUAUCCGCAACUUCUGGUCUGUCCGGAUUGGCAACCACCUUUGAAAUAGCACCAUGGCUCUCAAGCUUCGGGUUAGACAGUUCGGUUAGACGCCAAAAGCUGAGUGCGACAAUAAAAUUUCCCUUACCCAAACUCUGAAAGUAACCAUCCAAGUACUCCGCCUGUUGAUUGCGGGCUUCGCACUCCAAGACUUCAUUGCUACGUUAGAAAUAUGGACAGUUAGCGUUUAGAGUGACAUUGUAAAUAAAACAAAUGAAAAGAACACUUACUAUCUAUCUUUUAUCUUGAAACUCAGUUUGAGACCGUAAUAGUCUGUAGUCAAUGCGCCAACAUCAACCAACGCUCCAACGACAUCUAGAUGAUGGAGAAACAAAGAUAAUAAACAAAAAUUUUCAAAAAUGUAAUAAAUGAAGCAUCGGAGUUAUUCUUCCUCACCGACUAAAACGUUCUUGUAAGCAGAUUUCUCCAAAAUGUAGUCGAAGGGAGUGAAAUCGAAAUCUGGAACUGGUGGUGAUCUCGGUGGGGCCUGAACGACGACGGUCCGAUCCAUAAACAGUAUGUCGUAUUCAUGCUUUGUUGCUCUGACUGAGUCAGUUGACUUACGGACCAAGAAAGAGGUGAUCGUCUUCCACUCAUUUUCAACGAAUCGGUCUUCGUAAAACGGAGCAAGGCGACGAUCAACGGUGGCCUCAAUACGGUUAUUCUUUACAUACAGAACAUGAUAGUAGACAGUUUAAUAUACAAGUUAAGCGAAUGAACGAGAAAAACACAUAAUGAUUUGACGGAAAUUACCGCGUAAUCUGCCAGGAUAAGGCCGAGUUCGAAGACGUUGGGCGAUAUAACCUUCUUGAAGACUCUCAAGUCAAAGACAUAAAUUCGCCACCCAGUGAUCAGAGGACACAAUUCUGAGACCAUAUGAAACCCCUCCAUCUCACGGAUAGCAAGAACAAGCGAAUCGAAAGACUAAAUUUUUAUUUGUGAAUGAUAUAACUGCCGGCACAAGAAAUGGGUUUAAAAUGAGGAUUGUGGAUAAAAUUAAGGAAGGGAGGAGACUUAAAUAGAGGAAAUCUGGAACGGCUACAGUUAUUAAUGCGGUUCCAACUACACUUGAUUCAAAUUUUUGGUAAUAGCUUGGUAACCGUCAUAUAGGGUAAUUAUUACGUUGAUUUGACAAUAAACAUCAACAGUUACGUCCUUUCCAUUAAAUACCAACACAACCACAGUAUACCCAACCAUGUCUCCAACUCCGUUCAUUUAAGAGGGGGAAUAAGUUAGAUUUUCAAAAAACUUAUUUGAAAUUACUCAAAAUAUUGAGCAACCACCUCUAUGUACCCUUAUUACAUGAACUUUAACACGUACACAGACAAAAACGUACAUAGUUAUACAAACGUAGAGUUUAAACGUACGUACACAACGUACAUAGUUACAGGUGGAUUAUAUAUAAACUUACGUACACCGAGAAAACACAGAAGCGUACACUAUAUUGGCAGGCUCAGAAACUUGUCACCAGAACUAGAUUGGAUUUUUGCACAUCUUCUUGUUAUGACCUGCUUGUCGACAGCGUGAGCACUGAUUUGGUAAAAGUCUUUUCUGUCUCUUUUUCUGAAGUGACAAAGACAGGAAGUUAAAAAUCUCCGCAUGGUAAUACUCAAAAUACAAGUAGAUGAAUGAACGAUGUUAGUACAUACCCGGUUUUCACCUCUAGAUGGGAUCCUUUUGGACAGUGGUCUUCCUGGUGGCCGUCUACUGUAUAGAGGAAUGAGUAUCAAAUCCACUAUAUGUUGUGGGAUGACAACAUCUUUCGGAUCCGCGAUAGGUAGAAUUGGUUCUUGGAAAGAAUCAGAAAACGUUUGAAGGCCAUACCACCAUCCGACACAAGACUUCGGAUCAAUUCCAUGCUUGAUUGCAGCUGCUAGAGCGUGUUCACAAGGGAUUCUUAGCUUGGUGUACCUAAGACACGUACACGUACACUGGUCCAGAACGACAUGAAAAUGCUCACCGGAUUUACUUGUCACUUGAUAGCUCCACGGUCCAGACAUCUUCACAGCGUAUUUACCUGACGCAGGCAACUCUUGUAGAAAUCUCUCAUCAACCUCAGGUGUCACAGAAGAUUUGCACCUAGCAACUUUCUUCCUCCUCGAUGCGAACCAUCGCAUUAGGACAUCCCGAAUGAACUCGAUCAUGUAAAUAAUCGGAUAAGUUUUUGCUUUUGUUAACACAUGAUUCAUGGACUCAGAGCUAUUGCUAGACAUGAUAUUGUAGCGUUCUCCUCUACAGUGAGCUCUUGUCCAAUGCUUAAAUCCUAUGUCCUCUAGGUAUUUUGCGCAUUUAGCACUCUUUUCCCUUAACAGUUCAAAAUAUUUCUCGAAAUCCCUGACCCUAUAAGCUUUGGCAGCGCUGAAAAAUAAAGCAGACACACCAAACUUACCAUAAUAGGUGGAGAGGUUUCGCUCAAGGUGAACAACACAUGCUCCAUGAUGCGCUCUCGGGUAAACAACACUUAGGCCUUUGUAUAUAGAUGAAUGUCUGUCCGAGACAAUCAUUAAAUCGUCACUGUCUGGAACAAUCUCAGCUAACUUUUCAAAAAACCAUGCCCAAGAAGCAUCGGUCUCACCAUCAACAACACCAAAAGCUAUUGGGAAUAUUUGGAAGUUCCCAUCUUGGGCACAUGCAAUAAGGAGACAUCCUUUGUAAGGUUCGACUAGCUGCGUUCCAUCUACUACAACUACCUUCCUCAUAUAUAUCAGACCUUUGAUAGAAGCCCCAAGAGAGACAAAGACAUACUUGAAGCGCUGCUUACCAUCAUCUUCUGGUGUAUAGUGUAGGUGUGUUAUUGUACCCGGAUUAGCUAAUUGGAGAAGAUACAGAUAGGUCGGCAAAAACCUGUAAUUUGCUAUCUCAUCCCCCCUUACAUUUUCCACUGCAACCUCUUUUGCUCUCCAAGCGGUAGAAUAUGAAAUCCGCACAUUCAGAUCAUUUAGGAGCAGCUGUGGUAAAUCGACAGCUCGCGGCCCACCCUACGUAGAACUGUAUCUGCUCCUCACAACUUCCCCGAGGAGCUUAUAAUUAGCAUGUUUAAUGUAGUUCUUCCGAGAGUCGAUGUUACACGUAUGUGUCGUAGCAUACGAAGUGAUUUUGAAACUUUCUGAAUCCUUCACGAUGCAAGCAGUCAAUUGCCAUGGACAAGUCUCAUCAACGCACACCAUCUUUAAUGUUUUAGGACAUGACUUAGGUUGCUUGAAGCAAAAGCAUUGCUUUAUCGCUUGAAGAGACAUUGUUUGUUGCAGGACUUUUCUAUUCUUAAAAACACUUCCAACAAACAAAGUUUCGCCUGUGGUGCUGAUUUCAACCUGUGUCUCAUCAGCUCGAAAAUUGAGUAAGUCAUCGAACACAGGAGCAGCAUCGUUACCGAGAUUCGCCAACUCGCCACCAUGUAACUUAGGAAAUUCAUUAUACACUUGGUAAGCCUCAGCUGCGGUAACUACCCCAUUAUCAUUCUGUGUCCCAGUUGAGGAAGCUCCAAUACCGUCGAUCACUUCAUCCCCGGUAACUUCGUCUAUACAAAUAAGAUUGGAAUCCUUUUGCCCUUCGCAGCGUGUACCGUAACCCAAUGGAAAAAUUGUUUCUUCGCCAGGUACACUAAGAUCAGUGUACGUACACGUUUCCAAGAGACGACUGAAUUCUCUUGUAUCUCCGUCAGGUACACUAACACCCGUGUACGUACACGUUUCCAAUAAACGACUGAAUUCCCCUGGAUGUUGAGCAGUCUGUUGAGUGAGAUUGACGUCUUCCUCAAGAUUUCCUUAUACAUAUUCUUCUACUAUUACAUCGUUCCACUUGUUGUAAUCGUAUUUUUCGCCAAUACCUUCACUACCGUCUGUGGUAGGAUACAUGGUACUUCCCCCAAUAGAUCCAUCCACACCAAGAUAAUCAUCACACCCAUCAUCAUCUUCGUUGCCCUCCUCCACUUCAUCCUCUUCUGUUGUAUCGUCUUCAACAUCGGCUUGCUCCUCUGCAUCCUCAUUAUUUUCAUCAACAUUUGUAGCACUAUCAAACACACGGUCACUUUCAGAAACUUCACCAUGAGACCUAGAGACAGUAUUCCCGAACGCCUUCACUGUAUUAUUGAAAGAGACGAACAAGUUGAGAGAAAGAUACCCACCACAAACAAAAAAAAACGUUUCGAGACCCAUCUGACUGUCAAUGUAUACAGGAGGGCGUUUAGUAUCUAUCAGCACUGACAUUUCUCCCGGCAUCCAGUAGCUAAUUAUGGGAUUGAUCUCGGUGGACUUCAAACUGAAAGCCUCUCGGAGUGUACGGACAAAGUCCGUGUACGUCAUGGUUUCCUGAACGCGUACACAACGACCAAAGAUGCCUUCCUCAGGUUCAAAUUUCCAUUCUCCUUCUUUGCAUUUCCACUCACCGACCAUAGUAAAUACGGGAAUAUCCAUAACCCACCUGCAUCAUAAAUUCAGGAGACACACAUUAAAUGCAACUGAAAAAUACUAUACAUAUAAAAAACAAAUGGAAUGUCGAUACUACACAUUUAUAAACCUAAAUACCAAUUAUCAUUUGACUAUUUUAAACAAACAAAUAUAGAUUUUGCAAAUUUUCUGAUAAAAAAAUGGAGUUAAAACACAAUCAAGAUCCUAAUAUGACAUAACAAAAAACUUCUUAAAAGAACUUCAUUACUUACACGAGCAAUGCUUGUUUUGGCUCCAAACUUGGUACAAAAACAAGAUCAACACUUCUUCAACAGCAAUGUACGUUCUUAAUUUUUUAUUAAUUAUUAUCAAUAAUUUUUUUAAUAUUAUUUGAUGUAAUGAUGAUUUUGCAUUAAUUGUGACAAUAGUCACAUCUAAACUUUUUUGGGGCAUUAAAUGUUGAUGUCACUUCGGAAUAAUGAAAAUAAUCUCACUUGUAACGGAACCGAAUCGCGUCAACGUGAAACAAAAAAUCUUCAACUGAAUCGGAACAGUGUACGUAACUAAACCUGCUAAACUAAACCGUACAUUUCAACAGUUACUAAGAGAGAAGCGCAAGGGCAGAAACGUCAUUUUGCAGGCGAAAAGACAAAUGGUGAAAACCACAUUUGACUUUAACAAUCCAUGGAAAUAAAACAUGGUCAACGGGUGUGGCCUGCAAUUUACCCUUAUAUAAACACUAAUAUAUAUAUCUAGGCUAGUACAGUUUUUCCUCUACGACAUUUACAAAUCUUUUUUUUUCUUUUUCUUAAAACUCUCAUUAAAAAAACAAUGAUAAAUCAAACAUGCUUCGUUCCGGCUUAAUUACUGCUCUUCCCCAUCUCAAGCGCAUUCCCAUACUCCCAUCCUCUACAAACCUUGACCAAUACCAGUGUGACCUCCACACUUGACCCAUCUCCUCAAUCGGAAUACCUUUCGUCUCCGGCAAGAAUCUUUAAUGGGUCGGAUUUGUAGAUUUACGGUUUAAUGGGUCGGAUCUAGAUAGUUUUAAUCAAUCUUUUUAUAACAUUACCGUUGGAUAAUAUAAGUAAGAAUAUACUGUAGCAUAGAUACUGAUGAUUUUAUGUGAGGCUUUCAUUGACUUAAGAGCCACGUAACCCAAUAAAAAUGGGUCAAGCCCAAAUGCGGUUCAUUUGAUAUGUGAAUGAAUGAUAUUAAAACCAAAUUCUAUCGUGAACUAUCUUUACAAAACAAUCACUUUCUCUCUCGCUCUCUCUGUUUCUUGACUCUCUUCUUCAUUAGUCUCCAUUGAUCUUGAAACACCAUUGAUAGAGUCAUGAAGUUUGUGGUCGAGAUUCUGGGUGGUUCAUCGUUCGAGAUUGAAGUGGAACGCACAGAUACAUUGUUAGUGGUCAAACAGAAGAUCGAGAAGUCUCAACGUGUCCCAGUUUCGAAACAAACCCUUAUCGUCGACGGCAUUUUUAUUCUUCGAGAAGAUCUUAACCUCGACCAAUGCCAGAUCUUCCACGAUUCUCAAAUCCAACUCGAAGUCUCUCCUGACGUGAACCCUAUUCACAACAACGACGAUCAAAUCCCGCAAACAGAGCAAUCUCCUCCAGCACCGUGGAUUUCAGUUGAAGAGUACUUUGCGGAGCAAGAUUGGCCUUUGACAGAGGAAGAGAUCAGAAAGAUUUACAGUUAUCGGCCUGAGACAACCCAAGACAUCAGUAAGAUUCAAGAUGCGCAUCAAACAGAGGAAUCUCCACCGUCAAACUCAGUCAAAGAGACCGUUAACAUUCAAGAUUCGUCUGUGAAGUUUGCGAGUAAGAACAACAACGAUCAAGUGCCUCCAACGAAGCAAUUUCCACAGUCAAACUUAGUCAAAAAGAUCACUAACGGAAAAAAAAGAGUCCGGCAGAUGCUAGUAUAUGUGUCGCCAUAUCCUGGUAUGAAUGAAGUCCCAACGAAUAUUCUGGUGCAAGUGAAAGUUACGGAUGAGGUGAAAACACUGAGAGGUCUUAUGAAACUGGCUCAAGAAGGGUACAUCUUUACGCACAAUAAUCAAGUAUUGAACGAAGAUCAGUCAUACGAGUGUAACAGUGUUAAACCCUUGGAUACAAUUGUGAUUGUUCCCAGACGUGUUAUCCAAGAGACCAGUAAGAUUCAAGAUUCGUCUGUGACGGUUCAAGUGCCUCAAAUGGAGCAAUCUCCAGCGUCAAACUCAGUCAAAGAGAUCACUGACCCGAAGAAGAAGAUUAAAGUAUAUGUGGUGGCAGCUUCAAGUGAGUGUAAAGGUCUGAAGAGAUUUAUUGAGGUGGAUGUGAACUCGACGGAUCAAGUGAAAAUACUGAGAACCGAGUUGGUUGAAAGUGGUCGGAGGGGUCAUAUAAGAAUGCCUCACGAAGGAUAUUUCUUUGUGGACAGAAAGAAAGAGAGAGUAUUGAACGAAGAUCAGUCAUUCGAGUGGAACCGUGUUCUUCCAGCCGAAACAGUUUAUAUGGUUAGUGGACGUGAUACACAUUUUGCCUCGUCUUUUACUCGUGGCUCUAAAGUCACAAUGCUUUGUGCUCAAAAAGUUCUGUAGAAAGUCUGUAUAUAUGACACAGAAGAAACCAAAAACUAUGAUACAUUCAGCAACAGAAAGUUAUGUGGAUCUUUAACUCUUUGCUAAUAGGUUUUAAUCUUUCUUCAAGUUUUCUUCUGGCCCUUAAGUCACAAUGCUUUGAAAUUUUUGAGUAUAUGUAGAUACAUAGAAGAAACAAAACUAUGAUACAUUUAGUAACAGAAAUUUAUGUGGAUUUUAUCCUAUUUGUAGGUGUAACUCUUUUCUUCUAGGUUUUAAUAUUUUUCUUCAAGUAAACUUGUUGUUAUUGAAUUCCCUUUAGUCGAAAGCAGCGAUCAAGCUUCUCUUAUAAGUUACAAACCCUAAUUUCAGCAAACACAACUUGGAAACACUAGCAGCAACAACUUUGUUAUUUUAAAACAUUAGCAAAAGAAAUCUCAUUGCAACAUCAAAUGGCAAAACUGGAAGGUAAAAAAAGCAGAACUUAUCAAACAAGACUACCAAUAUGAUGAACUGAUGAUUUUUUUUUUUUUUUUUUUGGCUCAACAACAAACUUUCCAUUCACCCAUUUAUGGAUACACAGUCUAGCUCAACAGAGCUUUUAACCCAAAUUGGUACAAUAGAAUACAACUUUAGAUCAUAAUUCUCAAAAGAAAGAGAUUCCUUAGCUAUUCUAUCUGCCACUCCAUUUCCUUCUCGGCUUGUAUGCACAAGCAUAAAAUCCUCAAACUUGCUAAGUAGAUACUUUAUGUCUUGGAUAAUUGGAUUGAGACUUGACAAGCAUAACUUUCAUGUAACCAAAGACACAAGUUGCUGAGAAUCCACCUCAAAAAUGAUCUUCCUAUAAUUGAAUCGGGAUAAUGACAGCACAGCCCAUCUAAGAGCCUCCACUUCUACUUCCAGCACGCUUCUUACUUUUACCACAGCUCUUGCACCUAACCAUAACACCUUCCCUGUAUGAUCGCGAAGCACCCACCCUAAGCCACAUUUUAAUCCUUCUGUUGGCCAUGCCCCAUCAAAGUUGCACUUAACCCAAGAUUGUGGUGGAGCUUCCCAUGUUUCUCGUCUGUCCCGACGGUGUUGUGGUUGGUGCUUUCCUUACAUUCUGAGCCUCUUUCCUUCUAAUCCACUCAUCUGCAUCUUCUUGUGUCCUUACUAAUACCUCAUUGGUUCCAAAUUCCCUCCCUUUAAGCACCAGCUCGUUUCUGUUCUUCCACAGCCUCCCAAGUAUCCAAGGGACUAAAGCCUCCACAUUCUUCAGAUCAGGAUAUUCUUGUUUAAGAUGUUGAACUCUAUGGAGGUUUGUAUGAACUGAUGAUCUAGGACCGGAUAAGUUCCCUUCUUCAUAGCGAACUUAUUCAAAGAAUGUUUUGUGUAUCAUUCUUGUUACAUUGUUAUUAAUGAAAAAAUAUUAUUGGUCAUUGGACUGAACACGAGUGUUAAAUAUGGACCAGGCCCCAAAUAAGAUC